This 67637-nucleotide long non-coding RNA is filed under the name Triticum aestivum (bread wheat). Its description in RNAcentral is "long non-coding RNA (TAES_LNC003945)". The stretch from base 42613 to 42699 matches the Rfam family "MIR1120/MIR1122 microRNA precursor family". The record is from RNAcentral. Lineage: Eukaryota; Viridiplantae; Streptophyta; Magnoliopsida; Poales; Poaceae.
AGCAUAAGUAUUCUGAUGAGUAGACUUAUCAGCCAGCUCGAGGCUGUUGUGAUGAGUAUUUCUUAGGGGCGUGGCAAACAGUUUAGAAUCAACCCUUUAUGUUUGGAUGUGUUAUUAAUGGAUUUUAAAUGAUAUGUAUCUUGGGUAGUGUUUUCUCAUUCUGUGCUAGUCGGGUACAACUUGCAAUUACUUUCAGUUUUUUUUUUUGAGAAAUACAGUCACAUGGAGGUAUUCGCUCUUUUUGGGAAUAUAUGCCAAAAGAAUAUAGUAUCUUAGAAAAGAAAUCCCAAAUAUAAGUCUUUUAAGAGGUUUCACUAAAAGACUACAUACGGAUGAAUAUAGGAACGUGGAUGGAUUCACUCAUUUUGCUCCGUAUAUAGUUUUCUACUAGUGAAAUUUCUUAAAAGACAUAUAUUUAGGAACGGGGGGAUCUGUGAGUGUCCAUGAUUAAAGCUUUGCAAAUACCAUAAACAAAACAUCACCUUGUACAUAUAAAGUGAUGAUUAUUUUUACACUAACCGGUUUGGCAAGUAGUACUUCCUUCGUAAAUAAAGAAACAUAAGAGUGUUUGGAUUAUCAUUUCUUUAGAGAGGGAGUAGUAUAUAUAUAGAAUUGAAUUAAUAAUCUCUACUCCUAAAGUAUCAGUUGGUCGUCUCUGUUCAUCGGUUAAUUUUCGUCCCACCAACACCGAUUUUUUUUCGUGCUCCCUCCCACCCAACCCCCGGGCCAUCGAACAAAAAAAAAAGGGUUGGCUUAGCUAUGCCCCACGAAGUCAAGGGGCCAAACAUCCGAUUGAAACAGAGAGAACCGGAUGAAAAAAAAUCUACGAAAAAAGACCUACGAAAUUAAACCAGCGAAAAAAAUGAAUCGCACGCAGGUAUACGAGCGAUUCCUCCUUCCUUCGAACCACUCGCACGCUCGAUCCCUUCGCCGCCGCCGCUCCAUCCCUUCGCCCCCACCGCUCGAUCCCUUCGCCGCCGCCCUCCCACAUCAAAGCCGCCACCGAUAUGCCCUGCCGGAUCUCGCCUCAGCCCCGCCGUCUUGUGAUCUGGAGUUCACAGCCUCUGCCGCCGAUAUCCUCGCACGCGUUAGGGUUCCUGCGCCGCCGCCACACAGGAGCUCGUCGACCAGCCCAGCGUGCUGCUGCUCCGCGCUCGCUUCCCUCGUCGGUCGCCUUUGGACCCCUCGCUUCAGACUCCGCGCCAAGCCGCCGCCUCUUUGCCGAGAAAGAGGGCUCCCGAUCUCCGCCGUGGUCGACCAUCAGCGCGAUUGGCAGAGCACCCAGCCCGUAGGCUCAUCCCCUUCUUGGAUCCACUCCGGCAGCGGCCAUCAUCGGUACGUUCCGCUCGUGAUAUAUUGGUGUAGGAUCAUCCCCUUCUCUUUAUCUAAAAAGGCUAUUCUACAUACGCCAAGGAGAAGAUGCUCACCUUCUCGCCCCUGUUGGAAAUAUGCCCUAGGGCAAUAAUAAAUUGGUUAUUAUUAUAUUUCCUUGUUCAUGAUAAUCGUUUAUUGUCCAUGCUAUAAUUGUAUUGAUAGGAAACAUAGAUACAUGUGUGGAUACAUAGACAACACCAUGUCCCUAGUAAGCCUCUAGUUGACUAGCUCGUUGAUCAAUAGAUGGUUACGGUUUCCUGACCAUGGACAUUGGAUGUCGUUGAUAACGGGAUCACAUCAUUAGGAGAAUCAUGUGAUGGACAAGACCCAAUCAUAAGCCUAGCACAAAGAUCGUGUAGUUCGUAUGCUAAAGCUUUUCUAAUGUCAAGUAUCAUUUCCUUAGACCAUGAGAUUGUGCAACUCCCGGAUACCGUAGGAAUGCUUUGGGUGUGCCAAACGUCACAACGUAACUGGGCGGCUAUAAAGGUACACUACGGGUAUCUCCGAAAGUGUCUGUUGGGUUGGCACGAAUCGAGACAGGGAUUUGUCACUCCGUGUGACGGACAGGUAUCUCUGGGCCCACUCGGUAGGACAUCAUCAUAUGCGCAAUGUGACCAAGGAGUUGAUCACGGGAUGAUGUGUUACGGAACGAGUAAAGAGACUUGCCGGUAACGAGAUUGAACAAGGUAUCGGAUACCGACGAUCGAAUCUCGGGCAAGUACAAUACCGCUAGACAAAGGGAAUUGAAUACGGGAUUGAUUAAAUCCUCGACGUCGUGGUUCAUCCGAUGAGAUCAUCGUGGAACAUGUGGGAGCCAACAUGGGUAUCAAGAUCCCGCUGUUGGUUAUUGACCGGAGAACGUCUCGGUCAUGUCUGCAUGAUUCCCGAACCCGUAGGGUCUACACACUUAAGGUUCGAUGACGCUAGGGUUAUAAAGGAAGUUUGUAUGUGUUUACCGAAUGUUGUUCGGAGUCCCGGAUGAGAUCCCGAACGUCACGAGGAGUUCCGGAAUGGUCCGGAGGUAAAGAUUUAUAUAUGGGAAGUCCUGUUUUGGUCACCGGAAAAGUUACGGGUUUUAUCGGUAACGUACCGGGACCAUCGGGAGGGUCCCGGGGGUCCACCAAGUGGGGCCACAAGCCCCAGAGGGUUGCAUGGGCCAAUUAUGGGAGGGGACCAGCCCCAGGUGGGCUGGUGCGCCCCCCCCCACAAGGGCCCAAGGCGCCUAAGGAGAGGAGAGGGGGCAAACCCUAAGGGCAGAUGGGCCUUAGGGCCCAUACCUGGUGCGCCUCCCUCUCCCCCUCCACCUGGCCGCCACCCAGAUGGGAUUGGGGCUGGCUGCCGCCCCUAGGGUGGAACCCUAGAGGGGGCGCAGCCCCCUCCCUCUCCCCUAUAUAUAGUUGAGGUCUUUGGGGCUGCCAACACAAGAGUUUUGACCUCUCCCUGGCGCAGCCCUGCAUCUCUCUUUCCUCCUCUCCCGCGGUGCUUGGCGAAGCCCUGCAGGAUUGCCACGCUCCUCCACCACCACCACGCCGUCGUGCUGCUAUUGGAUGGACUCUUCCUCAACCUCUCCCUCUCUCCUUACUGGAUCAAGGCGUGGGAGACAUCACCGGGCUGUACGUGUGUUGAACGCGGAGGUGCCGUCCGUUCGGCACUAGGAUCUCAGGUGAUUUGGAUCACGACGAGUACGACUCCUUCAACCCCGUUCUCUUGAACGCUUCCGCUUAGCGAUCUACAAGGGUAUGUAGGUGCACUCUCCUUCCCCUCGUUGCUGGUUUCUCCAUAGAUAGAUCUUGGUGACACGUAGGAAAAUUUUGAAUUUCUGCUAUAUUCCCCAACAGUGGCAUCAUGAGCUAGGUCUAUUGCGUAGAUUCUUUGCACGAGUAGAACACAAAGUAGUUGUGGGCGUUGAUUUUGUUCAAUAUGCUUACCAUUACUAGUCCAAUCUUGAUUUGGCGGCAUUGUGGGAUGAAGCGGCCCGGACCGACCUUACACGUACACUUACGUGAGACAGGUUCCACCGACUGACAUGCACUAGUUGCAUAAGGUGGCUAGAGGGUGCCAGUCUCUCCCACUUUAGUCGGAUCGGAUUCGAUGAAAAGGGUCCUUAUGAAGGGUAAAUAGCAAUUGACAUAUCACGUUGUGGUUUUGCGUAGGUAAGAACCGUUCUUGCUAGAAACCCAUAGCAGCCACGUAAAACAUGCAAACAACAAUUAGAGGACGUCUAACUUGUUUUUGCAGGGUAUGCCAUGUGAUGUGAUAUGGCCAAAAGGAUGUGAUGAAUGAUAUAUGUGAUGUAUGAGAUUGAUCAUGUUCUUGUAAUAGGAAUCACGACUUGCAUGUCGAUGAGUAUGACAACCGGCAGGAGCCAUAGGAGUUGUCUUAAUUUAUUUAUGACCUGCGUGUCAACAUAAACGUCAUGUAAUUACUUUACUUUAUUGCUAACCGUUAGCUAUAAUAGUAGAAGUAAUAGUUGGCGAGACAACUUCAUGAAGACACGAUGAUGGAGAUCAUGAUGAUGGAUAUCAUGGUGUCAUGCCGGUGACGAUGAUGAUCAUGGAGCCCCGAAGAUGGAGAUCAAAAGGAGCAAAGUGAUGAUGGCCAUAUCAUGUCACUAUUUGAUUGCAUGUGAUGUUUAUCAUGUUUUUGCAUCUUAUUUGCUUAGAACGACAGUAGUAAAUAAGAUGAUCCCUCAUUAAAAUUUCAAGAAAGUGUUCUCCCUAACUGUGCACCGUUGCGAAAGUUCGUCGUUUCGAAGCACCACGUGAUGAUCGGGUGUGAUAGAUUCUAACAUUCACAUACAACGGGUGUAAUACAGAUUUACACACGCGAAACACUUAGGUUGACUUGACGAGCCUAGCAUGUACAGACAUGGCCUCGGAACACAAGAGUCCGAAAGGUCGAGCAUGAGUCGUAUGGUAGAUACGAUCAACAUGAAGAUGUUCACCGAUGAUGACUAAUCCGUCUCACGUGAUGAUCGGACACGGCCUAGUUGACUCGGAUCAUGUAAUCACUUAGAUGACUAGAGGGAUGUCAUUUCUUUAGAGAGGGAGUAGUAUAUAUAUAGAAUUGAAUUAAUAAUCUCUACUCCUAAAGUAUCAGUUGGUCGUCUCUGUUCAUCGGUUAAUUUUCGUCCCACCAACACCGAUUUUUUUUCGUGCUCCCUCCCACCCAACCCCCGGGCCAUCGAACAAAAAAAAGGGCUCACUUAGCUAUGCCCCCACGAAGUCAAGGGGCCAAACCUCCGAUCGAAACAGAGAGAACCGGAUGAAAAAAACCUACGAAAAAAGAUCUAUGAAAUUAAACCAGCGAGAAAAACGAAUCGCACGCAGGUAUACGAGUGAUUCCUCCUUCCUUCGAACCACUCGCACGCUCGAUCCCUUCGCCGCCGCCGCUCCAUCCCCCACCGCUCGAUCCCUUCGCCGCCGCCCUCCCACAUCAAAGCCGCCACCGAUAUGCCCUGCCGGAUCUCGCCUCAGCCCCGCCGUCUUGUGAUCCGGAGUUCACAGCCUCUGCCGCCGAUAUCCUCGCACGCAUUAGGGUUCCUGCGCCGCCGCUACAUAGGAGCUCGUCGACCAGCCCAGCGUGCUGCUGCUCCGCGCUCGCUUCCCUCGUCGGUCGCCCUUGGACCCCUCGCUUCGGACUCCGCGCCAAGCCACCGCCUCUUCGCCGAGAAAGAGGGCUCCUGAUCUCCGCCGUGGUCGACCUGUUAGGUUGAUCUCUCCACCAAUGGGCCCAACGGCUCAUUGCGCCCUUGACCCACGCCCUGAUCGGGAGCGUCCAGCCCAAGCAAGGCUGGUGGGCCCCUAUCACGCAGUGCUAUAAAGAGGAGGUGGGGACCAGGGGCACAGGGUACGAGGUUCGUCGCCGCCACUGUUCCCCACUCCUAACCCUAAUCCGAUCCAGAGGGAGGCACUGAAGCGAUGGGAAGCGCCACCAGCCACUUCAUCGUCACCCUCUACACCAACCGUCGCUGCCCGUGCGCAGACCAUCACUGACGAACCAGCGAUGGCCGGAAGGCUAAGGUAGACACCCAAACAGAGAAGAUAUGCCACCGAUCUACUCCUAGUCGAUCCAGUAAGUCUAUCAAUGGUAUCAGGCCAUGUAGGCUAAGAAUUUUGGUACAAAGUGCAUACACAGAAAGAACAUCCCUCUCUCCCCACCCCUCCCCAAAGAACCCUAGCAGGGCAGAGACAAACAACAAAAAGAAAGCAAAAAGUUCACCGGCAGAGGGCCCAGGCCCCCGCCGGCAAAGUGCGCCGCCACUCCGGCCGCGCCAGUUCCUCUCGAUCCGAACGGGCAUCGGCUAGCCGAGCCGUCCGGACGAAGAACAACCCCGCAAGGGGCAAAGGGCACUGCGACCAAUCCGCUCGACAGCGGCGCGCUCACCGCAAGGUGGACGCGCAGCCGGCGAGGGGGAAGGCCACGGCGCCGCUGCCGUUCGCUCUGCCGUCGUCGAACUCGAAUGGGAGCAAAGGAGGCAGCAGGAUCUCUCUCUCUCUCGCCGGGGUGGUGGUGGAUGUAAAAAAGAGAACGGGAAAGGGAAGGGGGGGCUCGCGCAGCCGCAUCCCUCUCUGCCACUAGAUGCGGUGGACGGAGGGAGAAAAGGAAGAAGGAAUGAAAGGGGAAAAAGAAGGCAGCCAGGCUCGCGCGACGCAGCGCAGUGGUCGGUCGACACCGUUGCCGGCGUCCAGGGCACGGCACGGUGGCCCGGCGUUCGGGAUAGAGCGAGAGUCACGAGAGGGAGGUGAGCGGCGCACACGGGGGAAAUGAGCGAGGGUUUUCCCCUCGGCAGCGUCGCCAGCUGGUUUUAAUCCAGCGAGAUGCACGGGCCACCGUCAGAUCGCGUUUGACGACCAAGAUAGAAAACCUAAGGAGGAGCGGGCCUUUUUGGGCCAAAAGAGGCUGAGGCCAGCAGCAGUAUGGGCGUUGCCGCGCGAGCUGGGCCGAGGCCGCAGCCGCGCGCUGGGCCAGCUGCAAUUUUUUUUAGUAGUUUUAUGUCCAGUUAUUUUUGGGCAGAUUUACUAUAGCUUUUCUAUACAAAUUUUUCCAACGAAAAGUUUGUUUUGGAAAAUAGAAAAAAAAGGGUAAACAGAAAAGUUCUGAAAAUGAAAAUAGAAAAUUUUCAGAAAAAGAAAAGUUCAUGAAUUUUAUAAAGAAAUUUAAAAGUUCAUGAUUUUUUUAUUUGGUCAAAUAAAAGUUUCUAUAAAGAAUAUAAAGUCCAUGAAUUUUUUAUUCAUGUUUUCCGCUGCAAAAUAAAGAAAAGUGCUCUUUUAAGAGAAAAAGAAAAUUCUUAUGAAUAGAAUAUUGUAAAGUUUCGCUGCAAAAUAAAAGUUUUAUUCUCCAAUUAAAUUGGAACCAACAGGAAAAUUUAAUUAGAAGAACGGUUUUGAGAGAAGUUUUUUCACUUGUGGGUGAAAUCAGAUUCAUAUAGUUUCUGCUAUGACAGUAGAAAGAUAUUUGAUUAAAGGUUAAUUAUGGUAUUGUUAUUUUCUGACCAACGGUGAUGAUGACGAUAUUAUAAUUCUAUGAGUCUUAUGUUCAAAGCUUAAAUCUCUGAUAAAAGUUGUAUCAAAAUUUUCAGAGAACAGAUAAAAGAUCAAGAAAUGCUCUUGAACAAGAGAACUGUAUAUUUAUUGUUCCCGCUGUAAUAAAGUUGGUGAUGAUGGUUAUUUCUUAACAAAGUUGUUUAAUAGACAUACUAUGAAAAAAAAGUUUAUACUAUCAUCACAUUGUUUAUGAGUUAUAUGCAUUAUUUUCAUUUCCGCCCAACGGUGAUAUGGAAUUAAUGUAGAAGGAUGAUGUUUUGUUCUAAUUCUGCCCAACGGUGAUUUAGAAUAUAAAAGAAAGUUUUAAAAGUUUAAUGUGCAUAUUUUUUAACUAGUAAACAUGGGGUUAUUUUUAUGCUCAUUAUUGUUGAUUAUUGGUUAAGUUUUCUCAGACUAAAAGUUUUCCAUGCCUUCAUUCGUGAAAGCGAAUGGCUGGGUACUUGUGACCCGAGAGAUGACCAAGAAAGGUCAACGUAAGGGAGUAUGUUCUCUCUAGAGAAUGGCUUCAAAAGAAAAGAGAUAUAUAAUUGAGAGUCUUGCUCGACGAUGUCUUCAUGUACUCUCCAUGGAAAAAGAAUUCUCAUCUUCUAUGAGAUGCAAUAAGUGAGAUGCGUGAUUAAUUUGACCAACGUCGGAUUAAGCAUGUGUAUUAAAGAAUAUUCGGAUUUACUCCUAAAUUUGAUGAUUUAAUAUGUAUUCAAAAGAGCCAAUUCUGGCAUUUAUGUCCCUUACAGGGAAUUACCCGCAUGGCGGGAAAAGAUGAUUAUGAUAAAACCAGCAUGGCAGGAAAAGUCUGGGAAAAUCCCUGCGUAACCCGUAUGGCGGGAAAUUUUCUCAGACUUAUCAUGUAUGACAGGAGAAAAACAUGAUGACUCAUGUGCUUUUAAUGUGUCCCAUUCUGGGAGAAAAGUAUGGAGUAGCUAUUAUGCCUUCCUCGUAUCGACCGUACAUCUUAUGUGUAACGGUCAUUAAGCGCUCAAUAAAUCCGAAGAGAACAAAAGUUACAGACGAACCUGAAGAUAAGAAUGAUAUGCAAGUGUGACUUGCAAAAGUACUAAUGAUAAAGAACUCUGUUGAGUUUCUGAAAUGGAAUAAGGAAAAGGUACUCCCAUACCAGUUAACAGAUAACUUCAUUACAUAUGAAGUAAUCAAAUAAAUGAAGUAGAUACUCAAAGUUUCCUCAAUUCACAAGAGUUGUGAAUGGUUUUUCGAAAUUGUGGCAGAAAAGUUCUUGCCACAUUUCGAGGGGGAGAAAGAAAUAUGAGAUACCCAUUAAUGAAGAAUGUGAUCGUCUGGGGGAGUACGAUGAUCAUAAUAAUACCCCUAAAGAAAAGAAAUAGUUGUAUUCCUGGAUCUUUUGCAGUUCCGAAAGCAGACUAAGGAAUACUAAGACGAUGCUUAAAGUGCCAUAAAGAAGAAAAUUUUAACAGAAUAAACCCAAAUAAUAAAUUUUAAAGAUACGCCAUUCUUAGUGAAAAUGGAGUAAUCUGGAGGAGCAUGGUAUGAAGAUACCAAGACUCAAAUAGAUUGUAUCUGGGGGAGCAUGUUGUAUGACCUAUACAACACCCGUUGUUAGCUCUAUAAAGGAGGAAUGAUUAAACAUGGAUCUUGUGAUAAAGGUCCCUGUAAAACCUAUUGCCUCUUGGAAAUGAAAGACUAUAAAAUAAUUUGCCUCUUGGCAAUGACAGAGCAACAACAGCCCCAUAUGAAAGAAGUGCUAGUACCUGAGACUCAGAUGGUCUCAAGGAAUGAGAAAAUCAGAUACUUCUAAUUACUAUAAAGUCUAUGUUAGUGAAAUUCAAAUGGAGGUUGAUCCCACCUCAUUUAAAGCGCUCAAUCGAGCUUUGAGAAGUGUCUGCUUAUCUAAAUGAUAAGAGACUAUGUGAGAUGAAAAUUGGUGAAUUCUGACGAUGUUCGGGACUCAUAAGUAAUUUCCUAUGGAGCCAAAACAGUAGGCUGUUAAGAGUCAACAAGGACAAUGUGACUCCAAAGUAAAUACGUAAAGGUGUAAAACACGACUUAAAUCGAAAGGUUUUUGCGGGUUUACACUGAAUAGAUUACAAUAAGUGUUGGUAGCACAUCAUGAUCUGAGUUACAUCAGAUGAAAGAUAUUAUAAUUUGAGUUAUAUCAGAUGAAAAAGUAAAGAACACAGGGGAUACUGCCUGAAGAAGUCUUUUAUGGACUAAAGCAAUCAAAUGUUGUUUUGGGUUAAAGAAAAUGCGAGGACAAUUGUAUUCGUGCAAAGUUAUAGAAUGGGAAAUUCAUUUCCUAAUCAUGUGCAUGUGGAUGACAUCCUACUUGCUAGUGGUGAUGUCAACCUACUGCAGGAGGAGAAAAGAAGUUCUUGUCCUCAAAUUUCAAAAGAAUGUUCUCGGUAGAGUGUCUCUCGUUAUAAGUAUCGAGAUUCACGAAGAAAAGAAUAAAAGGGGGUAUUAGGGAUGUCGAAUGGACAUGCUAAGAAAGGUCUCUAAAGUAUGCAUGCGAGAAAACCUACGCCUGUUCUUACAGUCAAGGGUAAUGGAAGUGGAAGCUAUGGUGUUCCAAAAGUUGACGAGAAAAGAUUCAAACAUAUAUGGUACCAUAUGCUUUAGCUGUUGGAAGCUCAAUAUAUUGCCCUGACACAGUUCACAUAUCCGGGUUGUUUUGGCAAUGUCCAGUCCAUAUAUAGAUCACUGGAAUGGAGACAAAGAUAUCGGCCUCAUGCUGAAAGAAAUAAGUGCUCUCAAAAGAUUGUGAGUACAAAGACAUGACUUGUGAAAUGUAUAGCGAAAUCCACAAUUGUCGCUAACUUUCAUACUUGGAGGUUUUUGUGUGGAAAAGCUUCAAAGAAUGAAACAAUUAUCUUCAAUGUGAUGCAAAGAUAUUUUAUAGCUUGAUAUGAGGCUGAGGGACAGGCAAAAUGGUUAAGGAGACCUGUACCCGAAGUUGAUAAUGGUUGACAACAGUGAUAACUAUUAGUCUUUCGCUCCUGUGACAACGGGUCAAGUGUUGGUGCCAAACACAUUGACACAAAGUUAUACGUUGUUAAGGAGAAAGUCCGGAAUUAUGUUGAAAUGCUUGGAGCAUGAAAGCAACAGACAAGUAUUUGCAGAUCUGCUUAUUAAAGGCUUACCGCCCAGUGUGUUCGGAGAACACACAGUCGACAUGGGUUUUAUGGUAUAGUCUAACAUUUCCGGACAAUAAAAGGGCCCAAGGUUAAAGAAACUGUUUCAAAACAGAAGAGUGUGUUGUGGGUGUUGAUUCUAUCGGGAUAGACCGUGAUGAUGAGACAUGCUCUACAUGCAAAUCUGUGAUGGAACGAGUACUUUGAAAAGAGUUAUUUCGAAGUACAAAGUUAAAAGUAUAUGAUGAGAUCAAGGGGGAGAAUGUUAGGUUGAUCUCUCCACCAAUGGGCCCAACGGCUCAUUGGGCCCUUGACCCACACCCUGAUCGGGGGCGUCCAGCCCAAGCAAGGCUGGUGGGCCCCUAUCGCGCAGUGCUAUAAAGAGGAGGUGGGGACCAGGGGCACAGGGUACGAGGUUUGUCGCCGCCACUGUUCCCCACUCCUAACCCUAAUCCGAUCUAGAGGGAGGCACUGAAGCGAUGGGAAGCGCCACCAGCCACUUCAUCGUCACCCUCUACACCGACCGUCGCUGCCCGUGCGCAGACCAUCACCGACGAACCAGCGAUGGCCGGAAGGCUAAGGUAAACACCCAAACAGAGAAGAUAUGCCACCGAUCUACUCCUAGUCGAUCCAGUAAGUCUAUCACGACCAUCAGCGCGACGGGCAGAGCACCCAGCCCGUAGGCUCAUCCCCUUCUCCGAUCCACUCCGGCAGCGGCCAUCAUCGAUACGUUCCGCUCGUGAUAUAUUGGUGUAGGCUCAUCCCCUUCUCUUUAUCUAAAAAGGCUAUUCUACAUAUGCCGAGGAGAAGAUGCUCACCUUCUCGCCCCUCCCCCUACCGUGAUGUACGUGGAUGAAUCCGACGGCAACGAGGACGACCUCGUAGGAUCCAGCCACGGUUGUGCGGAAUUUCGCGGGGACGGAUCUACCCGGCCUCUCGUCCUAUCUGCCGCUGGUAGAGGCAUCCAUGUCCGAUGGUGUGAAUUUUGGCUGGUUCCAUGAGCACUUCGUUCCCUGCCGUGUAGUCUUCGUUGAUUCGGGAAGAUGGUGGUUGUCUGUUUAGCCAUUUCAAUCUGCUAUUGAUCAUGCUCAUUCUUGUUAUAUUCAGUUAUAUUGGAAACACCAUCUGAUUCAGUUAUAUUCUUGAUCAUGCUCAUGCUCAUCCUUAUUCAAAUAAGAAUACUUCUGUUUGGAGAGCUCGGGCGUCAGCUGUGUGGAAGCACCAGUUGAUUUGUAACUGGUCGGAAGGUGAGCUUCUCAUACUCGCUGCCGUCGAAGCACGGCACCUCGCCGCCACUUAUGUUGCGUGUUGUUGUGCUGUAGGUCCUUGGGGUUGGUUGCGGCAACUCGCGACUCGAAGACAUUUCGUGCAUGUGCUCCCCUGCGCUUGGUGACCAAUACAUCUACUCCGUCGUGAACAUGUGCUUCGUGUCAUACAGGUCGCCGCCAAGGGUGAGCUCGUGCAGCGGUACAGGUAUAGAUGUGCAUCCCAUAAGGGCAGCUACAGUUUCUUUCAUAAAGUUAUUUGUGUGAGUGCCCUGCAUAUUGAAGUAAACUGGAUCGGCUAAUCUUGAGUUCCUCUACCAAGUUAUAUUACUUCGACAAGAAAAGGUGCAGAAAGACCAUAUAAAGUACUCUGGUGACUCUCUCAAUUGAAAUAGAAUUUUUUUAGAUGCGUGAAACAUGCACAACGAUUUGCUCUAUUGAGUCUAUGUAUGUUGAACUAGCACUCGAAUUAUAGCUCAUGCCGGUAUACUAAUUUUCUCUUUCUCAUAUCAGCUCUCCUUCCUUUUGUCCAUUUUUCUUCACUACUACCUGAAGGAAACUGUACUGGAUAGCAGCCUAUCAUAUAUAGUUACAUGUACCGAGUGAUUUAGCUUCAUUUUAAUGAUACUAUCAACAACUAACUACUGCUGCGACAUAUUUGAUGCAACCUGUAAAAUAUUUUUUGUUUAAUUUCAGCAUAUCAUUUAUAUACUGAAGUCUCUUCUGGACAUGUUGUCUAAUUGCGUCAUGUAUGUUAGAUAUUUGUUCUAUAAUACUUGCCAUUGACUAUUUUCUUUUAUUUAGGUUAUGUGCAUUAUUGAUCAGCCAAUCUUGAGAGAGAGAUGGGUUGGCGUGAAUGGGAAGAAAACUACAUUGAAUGGACAAGAAGUAUGCCCUCAACUUUUUCAUGGUACUCCCUCCGUCCGGAAAUACUUGUCAUCAAAAUGGAUAAAAGGGAAUGUAAUCUCUUUUUAUCCAUUUUGAUGACAAGUAUUUUCGGACGGAGGGAGUAUGUCUUACUUAUUGUUCUUGUGAUUUUUCCAUCAGUUUCACUUUACAUUUCUUCUUUGCUUUUUCAUGGCAUCGGGAUGCCCACUGCCGACGGCGCUGCGUUGCUACCAAAGGGGCACCCUGCCGCGGCCGGGGACUCGCUGCCGUCGAAGCACGACACAUUUCCGUCACGUAUCUUGGGUGUUGUGGUGCUGCAGGUCCUUGGGCUUGGGUGCGGCAACUCGAGACUCGAAGAUGAUCUUCUGUGGUAGGGCGUCGCCGGCGGCGGCGGCACCUGUAUAGACCGUCUCGGUGUGACAGAAGAGUUCGGAGUUCACUCCGAGAAAGAAUUGCUUUGCAUGUACAUUUGCUGAAAGACUGAUGUGCUGAACUUUCGAUGAUUUCGAUUGGUCUCUAACAUAACCUUUCCUCUUUUUGUUGAUAUGUCCAAAAGAGAUCCUUAUUUCACCUUUUGUUUAUAGGUAUUCAACUUGAGGAAUUUCAUACUUUUGGAGUGGAGCUAUCAAAUAUAUGUGUGCUCGAUGUUGGUGUUUUAAUCCGGAUCUCUUGCUGAAGGUGCUCGAUGUUGGUGUUUGAAUACUGCUACCGUACUUCAAGGUCUGUAGCAGCUCUUACAAUGGAUUCUUUUUAAUGAUAGUACAAUUUAUUUUUGUUUCGAUUUGGUAUUGUUGUUCUGUUCACUUAACCCAUUCUGUAGCAGCAGCUUUUCAUGUCGUUUCCUCGCCAACAAAUGUCAUAAUUUAUCACAUACGUGUGCAAAUGGUUUUUUGGCUAUAGUAUGAGUAUAUGGUUCAGAGAAGUUCGGUCAGAUGCAAAGCAUGCUUAGCAUCUCAUAGUCGUAGGCUAUUCCUUUUAAAAUUGAAGCCAUCCAGGUUUUCAAUUAUGGAGAUGAUUUGGAAACUCAGCAUAGAAAAUUAUUUACUCUAAUGCAAAUUACACAUAUUAAGGCCUUUAUUCUUUUAUAUUAAGGAAUCCAGUGCAAGCAUUAGCCCAUCUUUAGCUGCUCAUAAGCAGUAUCAGUGAUAUAUAUAUAUAAGUACACUCUUGCUAAGAUUAAUCUUUGAUAUAUAUAAUUCAUUGCCUGGAUAUAGUUUGCUUUGAAUGUUUUUUUGCUCUUUAGUCUAUGAAGAAUUGCAAGGAGGAGGAUAAUAGAGCAGCAACCAGAGCUGACAAUUGGCCUGUAAAUGCAGCAAAGUUCUCCUAGAGGUGUGAUGUUGGUGGUGAUUUUCUUAUAUGGGGAUAUGGAUGUGGCGGGUCUAUGGGCACCAUGCUGACGCAGAGAAGGAGGUGCAGGUAGCGGGGCGCUUGAGGUGAGGUGGCUGCAGGGUCGCUCGAGAAGAACAGGCUCAUAAGCACCACCUGGAUGCCUUCGUCAUCAGCAAUGUGGACAAGGUGCAAAAGGGAUAUCUCCCUUACCUCUUAUUCAGCCUGGAAAAUUAUGCAAUGUUUGGUUUGGCAGAUUUAACAGUCGCUGGUUUGGAAAUUUGUUACGUAUAGAAGUAUAGGAAUAACAUGACUAAUAUUUAUUGAAUUUAUAGAGUUAUUGUUUUUUUCUACAAAGUCAGUUGUCACAUUAGAAGAACAUCGUCUAAAAUCUUGACAACAUAAAGGAGCAUAGAGUUAAUAGAUUAUGAAAUCCUGUAGUGCAUCAGAUGCACCCUUCACUAAUUUUUGAACACAUUUAUAUUAUCCAGGUUCCGACCUCAUUCCCUGUGAUGUUUGUCUUUUUUAUGUGGGCGAGGAAAACAUUUUUAGGAGUGAUACUCCCAAACUUUGAUUUCUUGGUUGUCGAAUCAUGGUGCUGAUUAGAUUUUACUUAACCUUAAUUAAUCUAUUUAUAUUGCGGCUUUGUCUUUUAGCUCAUCUUUUAGUUUCUCUUCUCCACUUAACACAAGAUUUUAUUGUAGGCUACCAAGUACAGUUAUACCACUUAUACUCUUUCUUUCUGAUUAUGCAAAGCUUGAUCUAUACUCAUUGAACUUUGUUAGAUAGUAGGCCCCCCUAUUAGUGUGCCUGAAUAUAAUUGUUUCUCCGUGUUUAUAGUAUCUUAGUCCAGUAGAAUGAAUGUUCUCGAGUAAUUAGAGGUAGUUGGAUCAAGUGAAUGUCUGAAUACCACUAAAAUCGAAAUCAUAAUUAAAAAAUACUGACCUUUUUCUUCAGGGCGUCUGUUCCUCCUCCCAUGGUCAGCACCACCACCUACUCUGAAUCUCCGAUCAGAAUAGUAUGAACUAUUAAAUAGGGAACUUAAUGCUUAUCAUUGUUGAUGUACAUAUGUACAACUAACAAUGUGUGUGCUGCAACCAGCUUACUUUAUUCCUUACUGAAAUUUAUCUUGAUUUAUUUCACAUCAGAUAGUUCUGAACCUAGAUGAUCUCAAUUAAGGUCAUUGAAAUUUGUUAAAUUAUUUUUAUCCGCUCUUCUGAACGAGCGUAUACUAUGAUCUGAUUUGUAUAUCAUAUUACUGAGGCAGCGCUGGGCCAUGUUGUGGUGAGAACAUACGAGAGAUAAUUGGGGUGUGUGGCUGAUUGCUUCAUAUGCUGCUAAUCAUAUAUGUAGACUGCUGAUUGCUCCUGAUAUACAGUGUCGAUUGCAGCUGAUAGUAGGAUUGUACUCAAUUUGAUAGGUAAAGUGGGAUGGCGGGAUUGUAUAGUGCUCAUAAGCCAGUCCGGGCAUUGUCCUUCCUCGAAUGAAUCUGAGACUACUCCUCAUAUGUUAAUCAGUUGCUCCUCCCUAGCUUUGGUUUGGUCUGAACUUCAAAGUUUUCAUCCAUUCAACGUUGAUUCAGUCAAAGAUCUCUUGGAAAAAUUAUUUCGACAAGAUUCACUCUAUAAUGUUGUUAUCAUUGUCCUCUGGAAUAUAAGGAAGCGCAAAAACUCCAAGGUCUCCUGGGAUGUUUUUGAGGAAUUGCACAUUACUGCUAGCAAGAUUGCUGCUGAUUGAUACCAUGGUCCAACAGGUAUUCACACGAAAUUAAUAAAUGGCACCUUACGGAUUGGAGUACUCCACUGUAUCACCUAUCUGGGAGAUUUUAAUUUUUUCCUUCUAUUAUUUCUCUUAAUCCCUGUGUACUCAUUGGACUUUGUAUAGUUCUCAGUUUUAUGAAGUGGUUCAGGCUGGCGUAAGCCGCCAUAGUCCCAGUAAAAAAAGGCUACAAGCUUCGCUUCGGCCUUUCGGAACUGAAUAUUAUGUAGUUUUAUUGAGAUUAUUGAUAGUGCUUCUCUACUAUCAAAGAAGGUAAUAGUCUCUUAUGUGUUUCUUUUUGUCCAUUUGAAUGCACUCCAUUUUUUAGUGUAUUAAUUAACAUCAAACCUCCCAUUCUUUCUAGAGUGCUGAUGUAUUAUUAUUUUCAGCUUAACACAUUUAACUUCCUAUAGAUUUCAUGGUUUAUGCAGAUUAACCGAGCUAAGAACUUUUGUGAAGCUAAAGCUGGUGUUAAGAUGAACGCCGCUAUGUAUAUAUUUGAAACAGUUAGAUACAUGCUUGACAGACUAUAUAGGGGUGAUCAAAACCAUGCAAAGCAUUAUGGGACAAGUUUCUCUACCUUAAAUAAGUGUGCGUUCUCUCGUGUUUACUAUUCGUUUAAGGGUCAUCAACCCGUGUAUUUAUUUUCAUUGACCAAGUUUUAAAUUUUUCUUCAGUAGUGUUCAUUGUGCAGUUCUAGAUUGUUAAGAGAGUAGAGUUUAUUGAUUUAUUACAUGGAGAGACCAGAAGUGUCGUAGUGGUCUUGACAUAAUUGCUAACAUUUUCUACUAGACAAAGUUUAAUUGCACUAAAUACAAAUUAGAACAUGCAUAGACAUUUAUCUUCUUUCUACAGAAUGGUUAGUGUAAACGUACUUUGAGUUGUACAUGAUUCUGUAUCUGACCAUUUUAUCUCAUAUGUUGAUGUGGUUGCAGAUAUGAACUUCAAAUUAUCCUGCAAUGUAUUGACUGCUCAGAGCUAACUUGACUACGCCAGUUUUCUUUUAUGGCUCAAAGUAGUUAGUGUCCCCCCUUACUAUGAGAGAGGUACUACUUCAAACAUCUCUUCUUAAUGUUUUAUGUCAUGGCAUACAGUAUGAGGGAGUGUUAGUUGGCUUGACUUUCGUGGCACUCAUUUCGAGACUAGUCGUCCAAUAUAUCAAUCUUUAUGUCUCGACCAUUUCGAGACUCCUCGUCAUGUCCGUGAUCACAUCCGGGACUCCGAACAAACUUCGGUACAUCAAAACUUAUAAACUCAUAAUAAAACUGUCAUUGUAUCGUUAAGCGUGCGGACCCAACGGGUUCGAGAACUAUGUAGACAUGACCUAGAACUAUUCUCGGUCAAUAACCAAUAGCGGAACCUGGAUGCCCAUAUUGGUUCCUACAUAUUCUACGAAGAUCUUUAUCGGUCAAACCGCAUAACAACAUACGUUGUUCCCUUUGUCAUCGGUAUGUUACUUGCCCGAGAUUCGAUCGUCGGUAUCCAAUACCUAGUUCAAUCUCGUUACCGGCAAGUCUCUUUACUCGUUAUGUAAUGCAUCAUUCCGUAACUAACUCAUUAGCUAUAUUACUUGCAAGGCUUAUAGUGAUGUGCAUUACCGAGAGGGCCCAGAGAUACCUCUCCGACAAUCGGACUGACAAAACCUAAUCUCGAAAUACGCCAACCCAACAUCUACCUUUGGAGACACCUGUAGUACUCCUUUAUAAUCACCCAGUUACAUUGUGACGUUUGGUAGCACCCAAAGUGUUCCUCCGGUAAACGGGAGUUGCAUAAUCUCAUAGUUUCAGGAACAUGUAUAAGCCAUGAAGAAAGCAAUAGCAAUAUACUAAAUAAUCAAGUGCUAGGCUAACGGAAUGGGUCAUGUCAAUCACAUCAUUCUCGUAAUGAUGUGAUCCCAUUAAUCAAAUGACAACACAUGCCUAUGGUUAGGAAACAUAACCAUCUUUGAUUAAUGAGCUAGUCAAGUAGAGGCAUACUAGUGACGUUAUGUUUGUCUAUGUAUUCACACAUGUAUCAUGUUCCCGGUUAAUACAAUUCUAGCAUGAAUAAUAAACAUUUAUCAUGAUAUGAGGAAAUAAAUAAUAACUUUAUUAUUGCCUCUAGGGCAUAUUUCCUUCAUCUCCUCCCCUGCUCGGUCUACCCCACAUGCAUGGCGUAUAACAUCCUCUAGCCCCAACUGCCGCCAAACCUCUCUAGCCUUAUGGCAUCAAAAUAGUACAUGACACACAUCUUCUGCUCCUUGUUUACAUGCAGGACACGGCGGCCGGACUGGGAUGUGUCUAUUAGCAAGAACCAUUUUGCAUGGCAGUGUUCCGUGUAAGGUUCUCCAAAGAAAUUUUUUAACUUUCGCCAGACAAUUCAGUUUCCAAACCUUUUCCCAUGUUGGGUUAGCACUAGUGGCUCCCAAACCAUGUGUCCUCUUCAAUUUACGGCCAUGCUGAAAGUACCAUAGAGCAUGGUAGGCCGAUUUCACUGUAAAAAUUCCAUGUUUAUUCAAACUCCAUGCUACAAAGUUACUCAUAUCAUGUGUAGGUAGUGGUAAAGCAAGGACCCGUUCCACAUCAAUCGAGAUGGUUUGCUCCACAAGUGGCACAUCCCAGUGACCUGUAGCUGGAUCAAUUAAAUCUCUCACCUUUGAUAGUAACUGGUUACCUCUUGGGGUAAUAAUCAUUCUGGAUGGUGAGUUAGGAAUCCACGCAUCCCUCCAAAUAUUUAUUUUUUCACCAUCCCCUACUCUCCAAAUGUAUCCAUGUUUCAGGGUAUUCACCCCUUGCAUAAUGCUCUGCCAAGUGUAGGAGGAAUUAUUUUUCAGCUUAAUUAAUUUACCAGCACAAGAAGCGGCCGUGCUGGGAGUGAAAAACUUCCAUGACUUGAUGUCCACUUGCUGCUGGUACCUUUGGUGGGAGAGGAGAAAGCUUGUGCACAAUGAGCCGGUACAAGAUGCGAAGAGAGUUGCGCAAGCGGUAUGUGCUUUAGCUGCUAACUAUGCUAUUGCAUGUGACCCAAAGGCCUCGUUAAAGAGGGGAGGUUGGUGCAAACCCCCUAGUGGAUAUGUUAAUUUAAAUGUUGAUGCGGCCUUUGAUUGGGAUUUGCUUCAGGGGGCGAUGGGAGCAGUCAUCCGAGAUGAUAGAGGACAUAUGGUUGUAGCUAGAAACAAGCUCAUUGAUUCCUGUUAUGAUGUACUAACUGUUGAGGCAAUGGCUCUGAAGUUUGGGUUGAAUAUGGCGCUCACAGCUGGGUGCAAUAGACUGAUUGUCAACUCGGAUAAUCUGGAACUCAUGGAAAUAAUGAAUAAGGAUGGCCAAUAUGUUGGAGAUGCCGCGACCAUUGUCGAUGAUUUUUAUCAUCUGGCUUGCGAAUUUAGCUCUAUUGUCUUCGAAUUUUGCCCCAGAGAGUCGAAUGGGGUUGCACAUGAACUAGCUAGGAUUGCUAGAAGUUCGCUUUGUAAUGAGUGGUUAGAUAAUGCUCCUUCUGAGCUUCUUCCCCUACUACUUAAAGAUGUAAGUCUGAUCACGAAUGAAUAAAGAGGAAGUAAAGUUGUCAAAAAAAAGAGCAUGGCAAUUUUAUUUUUAAUGGCAUGUCAUUCUUACCUUUAUUUUUGAGAAAAGCAUGUCAUCUUUACUAUGUCCUUCUCGCCUGAUGUAUGAAGUAGGCGGACCCUAGAUGGGCUUUCCCAAUAUGGGUUCCUGGGACCGGGUUCCUGCAGAGUUUUUUUUUCUUUUCGUCUUGUGUGUUUCCUGGGCCAAUUUUCAUCUUUUUGUUUGGUUUUCUGUCUUAUGUGUUUCUUUAUGGAUUUUAUUCUUUCUCAAUACAUGUCCAUUUUUCUAAAUACACACUGUAAAAAUUUACACAUCUUGAACAUUUUUUAUUAAUUGGCAUAAACCUAUUUUUGGAGUGUGUGAGCAUAUUUUAAUUGUCAUGUACAUUUUUCUGAAAGGCAGUAUUUAUUUUGCUGAAUUACGUGAGCAUUCUUUACACAUCUUGAACAUUUGUCCAUAUUUUUUUGAAACACAUGAAAAUAUUUUUGAAUGCUAUAAACAUUUUUUAUAUCAUGCUGCAUUAGGUCUAUAUUAGUUUAAACUAAGUCAGUGACAAUUAAUAUGGAUCAUAGAGAGUACAAUUUUGUACAUGAUGUUUAUAAUUUUAUAUUUCACUUUCCACAUUUUUUAUUUAUUAAACUCUAUUGUGUUUUUGGAAUAAGUGUAUUUAGAAUAUUUUUUAAAAAUGUAAAUAAAAUGGAGCGAAUGAAGAAGCAGAGAAGAAAAACGAAGGCCGGCCAAAUGUAUGGCUUUCCCUGCCUCAUACCUGCAAAUCAAGCUAAGCAGCGGGUGAUAAUUUUUUACACAAUGUUUAUAGUUUUCUAUUUCAAUUUGAACAUUUCAAAAUUUUAAGGAAAUUAUUAUUUUUAAAUAAAUGUUUUUAGUUUUUUUUAAUAAAAAGGUGAAAAAAAAGGAAAUUGAGCGAAUGAAGAUUGAAGAAGCAGAGAAGAAAAAUGCCCUUUCUUUCAUUAACUGAACUGCGUGCGUGCAUGGAAGGGCUAUCAUCUUUACUUAAGAGGAGUGACUUACCUAUCAUUGUGGAGAUGAACUCUAUUCUUGUAGUCAAACUGAUCCAAUCGAGGGAUUUGGACAAAUCUAUUUAUGCUUGGAUAGUUAAGGUGAUCAAGUAUGUUUUGGGGAUUCGUGGUUCUUGUAUUACUCAUGUAAAUCGCUCUCAAAAUAAAGUUAGCGACUGCUUAGCUAGAUUUGCUAAAUUAGAAGGACAAACCAUGACUUGGGUUGGUUCUGGUCCAGAUGUUGUUGUUGAGCUAGCUGUUGCUCAAUGUAUGGACACCAUGAGUUGAGUAAUGCAAAAAAAAAAGUUUGCGCAAAAUUAUUUUCAAUUUUUUUUUGAAAAUUUUAAAUAUGGUUUUUGUUUUUUUUCUUUUCAAAAAAAAUACCACACAAAUUUGGCAUUCGUUCCAUGGCUCAUAUCUCUACUCCUAAUGGACGACUUGGUGAAUAGUCUUCAUGGUUUAUUUUCGCUGGGUUUUUUCAUCAUCCUCCCACCUCACGGUUUCAAAAAAACCAACCAAAACUAGAGGCCCGUCCCACGAAACGAAACCCAAUUUGCCCUCGUACCACCACUCCUCCCUCUCCCUUGACCUCCCUUGUCUAGGGUUCCCCGGCACCACUGCGGCAGCCGCCGCCGAAUCCUAGGUCGCCGCACAUCGUCGCCGCCGCCGCGAAUCCCCAGGGACGCCGCACGCCACCGCCGUUGCGAAUCACCAGAGACGCCGCACGCCGCCGCCGCACGCCGCCGCCGCGGAUCCCUAGGGAUGCCGCCGCCACCGCCGCGGAUCUCCAAGGGCGUGGUCACGUUGUACUAGACAAAGUGUGUUCGUCGCCGGCCUCUCCUCGUCCGACCUUGACUUCACCCCUUCGACUCCGGUGACUCCUCUGUGGCCCGGUGGGCGCCAACUGUCGUGGAAUUUUCAUGGCAGAUGUCCUAGUGUGAGGACUUAGUCGUGAGGCCAACGCAUCUACGCGGUAGCUUGAAGGGAUUGGUCGGAAUCGAGAGAUGCGAGGCGGAUCAACACACAAGACAAGGAUUUAGACAGCUUCGGGCCCCAGGAAACAUCAUCCGGUAAUAGCCCUACAUGAUGUUUGUGGCUAGCUCUCAUUAUGCUCACGAGGGAGUCGCCGUAAACCGGCUCUCCUAGUUAUGUCUAGCCCUAGAGAUUGUUUCUUCUUGCUUGUCCCUCUUUGGGGAGCCUUGUCCCUCCUUAUAUAAGUUAGAGGGGCGGGUUACAUGUGGAGUCCUAUUAGGAUUAGGACUAGUCUACCUUCUAAUACAAACCGGAUACAAGUCCAGGUCUUAACUCCUUGUAAGACAAAUAUUUCUCACGCCUUUCCUCUUAAACCGGCCCACCAUAACAUGAGCCGGCCUUCUGGGCCUUGGGACUUGUCAUCCGUCUGUCCCGCCCGCCGGGUUACCAGUGAAUCAUAAUGUUCAGUCAGGUUGCUUGUAAACUGUCUGGUCAGUGCGGGUCGCCGGUGAAUCGCCAAGUCCGGCUGGGCUAUACUUCCGGCCGGGUUACGCCGCGGGGUAUAUCCCCGACAUCUCCCGUGAUAUCUGACGAUAUAUUUAUAAGUAAUGCGCAUGGAUGGUCCGUCCUUGAUUUUAGGGUGGCUUAGUCGGUUGGAAGAUUUGUUAGUUAGCCUAUUUAAAGGUAGCACGAUGCUCUGGUGCUAUUGUCAGGGCUUGCUAGCCCAGCGGAGGAGUCCCUAGUUCUUCUCUUACCCAAAGUAUUACGACCACCGUCUGUCAUUGCCGCAGUCGCCUGACACCAAAUCAACCAUGUCAUCGUCGAGCUCCAUUAGGUACGCGCUGAGGGGCCGAUCAGUUGAUGUGCCCCUGAUCCCUUGCCCUGACUGUGGCGAAACGGUUAGAUUCUAUCUCUCUAGUACCGAAGAGCAUGAUGGUUGGGUGUUCUACAAGUGCAAACACCACGAUGUACAAUCCCUUUACACUUUGGGUUGACAUUUACUGCAUGAGUAAUUUUUUCUACUGUUUCGUUAGUGCUGGUUUGAUUUGUGUUCACUUGAUUCAUAGGAUCCAUGUGAUUUCUGGCGCUGGGAACUAGAGUACGUGGAUCAUCUUGUUGGUACAAGUGUCCUUGUUGGUGCUUAUGCCCUUGACGCAAUGGCUGCGGCACAGGAUAGAAGGGAACAGCUACAGCGCGCAAAAAACAGUGGGAAAAGAAUGCAUGUACCAAGAGUGGCAACAUUGGAGGCAGGACAAAUUACAUUCAGAGCAAUGUGGCAACCAUUACGAAGCACCAAGCUUAUAUGAUGUUAGGACUAGGGAGACAAAUUGUUUUCAUGCUGAAGCUGUUGACGGCUAGUGUAAUGGUGUUGUGUGUGUUGUGUGUGAUGUUGAUUGUGAAGAAAUAAUAUAUUUGUGAUCGUAUCAAGGCGAUUAUCAUGGUUACAUGUAAUAACAACUUAAUAAGAAGGUGUGUUCUAACAUGAUAACUCUUAUACGCCCCCAACCCUAUUUUAACAUGACAUGUAAGAGUAAGAAAUAAAUCUUAUACGAUGAUUCCACGAAAUAGUUGUUUUGGUUAUUUCUUACGUUCUUGACUAUUAUGAGAAAAUAAGAGGUAAGACGGAGCAUGUUAAAAUUGUUAAAAAAUAAUGAAUAAACCGAGUUGCAAUGAAGGCAAUCGAAUGGAAAAACAUAAAUGACCAUUUAAAUUCUUGCCCACUAUGUUGUGCACAAACACAAGAGUACCAUGUUAACACCACAUACAAAUGAUUCCAACUUUUUUUCAUGCCCUCCCAUGAGCAAAUCAAGCAAACAUGCAAAUAUGGUUCUCAGUUUCGACAACUUCUCCACGUAUUGGGAUUUUUUUAUCAAAAAUGCCUGAAAACUGGCCCCACGUGACAUUAGUUGCAAACUUUACUAAGAAUACAUCAAACUUGGCAUGGAGGACUAACAUGACCAUGAGUUGUUACCCCAAAAUUUUUGUGUUGAUUUAAGAAAUGUCAACAAACCAGCAUGUGUCUUCUCAGAGGAUGCCAUGUUAGCCCAAAGGAAGGGCGCGUAUUGGAGCACCUCCGUCUUUACAAUAUCCACAAAUGAUGCCAACUUUAUUUCAUGAUCUCCCAUGAAAAAAUCAAUAAUGCAUUCACAAAGAUUUUUAAUUUGGCCAACAUUUAUAAUCCUUCUGCAAUUUCGAAACGAAAAAGAAACAUCGUCUGCAUGGUCUACCCCCCUAGCCACACAUCGAAAGCAUGGGGCACAUGAUGCAUUACACUUUGUUUGUCUUAUGGUGGACCUAGUUGACACACCAGGCCUAGUUGGAUCAUUGGCCUACACCGGAUUCCAUGUCAUGUGAAACCUCGGCCACAUCAACUGCUCCCGUCUAGAACCUUCGAACUGCACUUUCCACUUUGUGAAGCAAGUACAACAUGAAAUUUGUGAAAUUUCCCCAAGCUUUUAAAGUGCAUCUCAUGACAAAAUCAAGUAAGCAUGCAAAAAUGCUAUUCAGUUUACACAGAAUUUUGCAUGUACAGUAAUUUUUUCGGCCGAAAAUACUAGAAAACUGGCCACAUGUGAAUCAUAUUGCAAACUUUACAAAAAAAUGGUUCAAACAUGGCAUGGAGGCCUAACAUGGCCUUCAAUACUCACCCCAAAAAGUUGGGUCAAUUUCAUACAGGCCAGGAUAGUACUAUAGCAUCUGCUCUCAAAGCGCGCCAGGCUCGGCCGGAAGGGCUUGUGUUGGGGAACCUCCAUGAUCACACCAGCUUCAUAUUUGGUAAAAUAUAUUUCAUGGCCUCCCAUGACCAAAUGAAGCAUGAACACAAUAAUUGUAAGCUUCUACUAGAUUUUCCAUUUUCUUCCAUUUUUCGGUCAAAAAUGCCCGAAAAGUGGCCGCAAUUGCCAAAACUUGGAAAUUUUGCUGAAACUCGUUUUAAUGUUGUCCUAGAAGCCUGUAAUGUAACAUUUUCCUUUGCAUGUCAUAAGUUGGGUUCAAUCCACAUGAAACAUGAUCUACUUGGUUUGUACAUUCGACAGUGUAGUCGCGCUUCUGACCGGGAGCUUUACAAAGGUUCUCGACGGAGGCAGCGCGUGUACCGCAUCGACUCCAUGGAUGGAAUCCAAUUUGAACCAAUGUUCGCACUUGGUAUGGUAUCAAUUAGGUCCACCCUUAGGCAAAGAAGCUUGAAGGCAUCAUGUGCUACCACUUUCGAUGGUUGUCUAGGGGGGUAGACCGUCUGGGAGGAAAUGAAAAAAUCAUGAAAAUCAUGUGUAACCUUGAACGCACUGUGCAUGCAUGCUUGAUUUGGUUCAUGGGAUGGCAUCAAAAUAACUUGGAAUCCUAUGUACAUGGUAUAUUGAAGGAGAUGGCCCGAGACGGGCCCUUCCGGGCUAUCCUUGUACCCUCCGAAAGCACGUGUUGGUUUAUUGACCUAUAUUAAAUGAUCGUCAAGUUUGUAGGGUUACAAUCCAUGGCCAUGUUAGGGAUACAUAUGCCAAGUUUGAACCAUUUUCAUCUAAGUUUGCAAGUUUUUUCAUGUGUAAAUCUUAGUCUAAACUGAGAAGCAUUUCGCAUGGUAGCUUGUUUUGGUCAUGGGAUUCCAUGGGAAAUAGUAGACAUCAUUUUGUAUUGUAGAUGAUCUACUAUAAACAUGGGGGUGCCCCCAAACACGUCCUUGCGGCCUUGACAUGCACCCUCCAAAAUCACAUGUUGGUUUGUUGACCUACCUGAAAUCAACCCAACUUUGCAGGGUUGCAAGCCAUGGUAAUUAUUGGGGUAAGUACAAAUUUCAACCAUUUUUAGCAAAGUUGCAAGUUUUGUCACGUACGGACAAUUAUCGGGCAUUUUCAGAACAAACAACAUAUUUUAUACCACUUAAAAAAUGCAUUCCUUUCUCGAUGACACAUUUGUUUUUUCUUCAGAACAUUACAUUUGUUUUGGCCAAUUACAUGCUAAUGUUUCAACCUCCCAUAACUCACGCCACCCAGAUCUCCCGAAAUCCCAUGAUUACAGCUCCUCCCUCGUAACCACCCGCGGCAUCCAGGUCCCGUACCACCUCCCACGACUGCUGCAAGAUCAGAUUGUAGCCGCCGCCCACCAGGAACAUCGCCUGAGGGGUCGGACCACAGUGGUGUUGUCGCCGUCUCCUACGCGCGUUAACGCGCGCUGCUCCUGUUGCUGCCGUCGAGCGCCACACAUCCACAUCUAGUGUGGGACGCACUAUCCGCGUGGAGCAUUGGGCCGCCACCAUCGACGACAGAAUGUUACGUGAUCAUAGCUCUUUUGUAACCUUUCUUGGACACGCAUGUCUACUAGUAAAGCCCUAAUAGGUUUCCCACAAGUUAUUCCAGUCGUUAAGAUUACCUGAUCAUAUCUCUCAUUAAUAACUAUCAACAUGAUCAAUCUUGGCACACUACACGAACGUCCGAAGAGGUAAUACUACAACAAGGGUAUCUCUUUCAUGAAAUAACAUGUCGUAUGUUUAUGCAAUCCCAAAACCCUAGUUGAACUGUCCCAAUGUUAUGCAUGACCAAAAUCUGUGGUGUGCUUAAAGUUACAUGUAGUUCAUAUUAUUUAAUAAACUCAUCCAUGCUUGCGUAUAAGAAUCUAUUUUUGUUACACAUUUCUCAAUGUGAAGGUCAAAUAAAUUGAACUGGUUUUGCUUCUGUUCCAUAGGUGCAGUAAAAUGGAAACUACUGUUAAAAGUGCUAUUAAUGGAGAAAAAUACGUCUCCGAAAUGACCGAUGAGGUACAUAGUUGACAUUUCGUUUGAAAACUGUACUUGCAGACACUUCUUUCAUACUCGAUAAAAUUUAUUGCUACUUUUAAAGGAAAUCUUGAGGAAGCACGGCCAAACAAAGUUAGUGUGCUCAUCGUCAAGGCUCGCCAAAGUCAUGAAAUUGUUGUCACCAGAACACAUAGAGAAAAUCAUAAGCGAUACCGGUCUUGGGUGUCUAAACAUGAUUCGUGAAUUUAAACUCCGGCGCAUUAUGUGGUAAGACUAACAUAGAGCUUCAAUAGUGAGACAUCGUCCAUUACCAUAGGUAAAACACCCAUUCCUAUCACCACAAAAGACGUGCACCAUAUAUUUGGCCUUGCGAUAGAAGGGGAGGAUAUUGAUGAAAAGCUGCAAAGCACGCCGGAUCCAAAUUUGUUUAACACAUUUCAAAACAAUGGGAGCAUUGAUCUGGCUGACCUUGAGACAGCGGUCUUAAGUUCCAAACCUUCGGACAAUGAUUUCCUGGCGCGGUUCGUUCAAUUCGCUAUUGGCACAGUUUUAGCACCAACAGCACAAUGUUAUGUCGACGCGAAAUACCUUCAACUUGCUGCGGAUAUUAAAAGCCUUCGAAAAUUGAACUGGGGAUGUUUCACAAUGAAACACUUGUUGAGGUACAUACACAAAUUUAGCUCUCUUGAUCAAGUAUCUCUACAGGGAAAUCUACCUCUGCUUCAGGUUAGUGCAACAUCACUAGUUAACAUUGUAUAAUUGUUUUUCUUUUCUAUAUCUCUCUAUAUUGACGAAGUAAUUUAUUGUGAAGAUUUGGUACUGGGAGCACCCGCGUUCCGGCAAAUUGAUGUAUACUCCUAUACCCCCACCAUUGGUCACACGAUGGGACGAAUGCACGUGUGUAAUAAGAGCAGAAGCUUACACCUCAGGAGGUCUUCAUAAAGGACUGGUGUGUUUCUAGAUUUGACCCAUGUAUGUAUCCGGUUAUUUAUUUGCUACUACUGAUUCAUUGUACCUGAUUCAAAGGUUGUGAUGGAAAUUUGUGCUCGACAACCAGAGGCUAACAUUAGAAAGGAUCCAGGAAGCAAAAAAAUUGUACGUGAGGAUGAAGGUGAUUCAUCUCGAGCACAAUCACAAGGUCAAAAUAUGAGUAGCCACCAAGUAAGCCCAACAAAGACAAUUUUCAUUUUCCAAGAUCAGUAAAAGGUUGCAUCGAAACUCAUUCAUUUUGCUUUGUUCUGAACGGGGUGUUAUUUCGUUUGCACAGGUGCAAAUGAUAGUUGCAGCCCUGAAUGCACAUUGUGCUGAGCAAGAAAAGAAGAUAGACAGACAGUUAAUGGAAUUUCAGCAUAGAUUUGAUGCGAAAUUCCUCACCCUGAGCGAAGAGUUAAUCGACAUUAAGAGUAAAUCUGGCAUUAAUCCUAGGCUCUCGCUGCUCGAGGACGAAAUUAAGAACUUAAGGAGGGAACUGAAGGUAUGUCAUGUUGUGCAUUUUUUAUUGUUAUGAAUAUGUUCCUCCAUAUUCAUUAUUGUUAUAAUUGUUAUAGGAAUUAAAAAACCAAACUAAAGUCAGCCGACAAUCCGAGUCACAGAAAGCAGGCGUCGAGGUAAUAAUUAUGGCCCACGACAUAAGUAGUAUUACCAAACUAAUUAUAAUUAACCAUUUUUGUUGCUGUAGGAACAAGUCAAUGUGUGCAGUGAUCCCUUCAUGGCGACUCCUAAGUUCGACGCAUCCACGCCACGUACUUCGACUCCAACACCAAGUGCCAGACACGUCCUGCCAAACAAGGACGAUCCUCGAAUCACACCGUUGAAGCCUCUAUUUGAUAAUGAUUACGUGCUCACCGCUGAGGACAAAGAGGCAGCCAUUUUCAUCUGGGGAACACACGGCCCUGUUGAAGUCGUUCAAAUCGGAGACAUUCCCCUAAGAGCGGAACAACUGAAGCCAAUUUAUGAUAAAAAAUACAUCUGUGGUGAUGUAAGCCCCUUGUACUCCAUUGUACAUCAACUAUUUGAACUGUUGGCACAUCAUUAUAUGAUUACAAAUUUGGCAGGUUAUUAUGGUGUAUGCUCACAUCAGCGGAGUUGAGACUGAUACUACCUCAGUCAUAUCCCCCAAUGAAACCAGAAAGCUUUUACAAACAAAAGGGGUUAUUCCAAAGGGCCGUGGAAGCUCGUUGCUUCAACUUAUUGCAAAUAAAUUUGUAGGACGCCGGAAGGUACCUAUUUUCCUCACUUCCAUAUAUCGUAAUAGAUAGUGUAGAUGAAAUAUUUCAGGGGUCCCCCGAACCAUAAUUGUUACCUUAUAUACAUUAUUCCGUGGAAUGAGUCCUCUUUGACUUCAUGGCAGGUCCACACCCCGUUUAAUGUGAAUGAUAAUCAUUGGAUGGGAAUGGUGUUCAAUUUCGACAAAGAAGAGAUUCAAAUCCUAAACUCCUUGAAAAAUCAAUUUGGCGAGUCGAAGGAAACUGCUCUUGUAAGCUUUAUCUUGCUGCCUCUUUACUGUCGCAUGGCACAUUAACUCCAAAUCAUCGUAACCCUUCGUAAUACUCGUAUUAUGCUAGGUGGAGGCAAUUCAGGCCUGCAUGGACGGAGCGGUGAAGGAUGUCUUGGUAACACCAGAUAAUCCCAUCAAAUUUACCGACUUGGAAGUAGUACACUAUGACGACAUACCGCAACAGAAUGACGGGUACGUACGACCUCCUAAAUUAUUCCUUGCCGACACGUCCAAGUUUACUAAAACCUAAACUAAACACUGCAUGCAUUCAUGUGCGUUUUUUACACUGAAGUACAUGUUGACAUGGAACAGUGAAGUAUUUACCGACAAAGUGGAGUAGGUGAGCCAAACACUAUAUUUUCUUGUAGAAUAUCUUAUGACUGAACGAUGUGCUGACAUAUGUGUCGCUUAUCAAAUGUAGUCACAAAUAGAUAUAUUUAGCUGGAAAAUAGUUUCAAGCUUGCUGCGUCCAGAUUGCAAUAGUCUUCGCAUGGAAACAUACAAGUACCCCAUAACGGUUAGCGAAAAAGCACUGAUAUUUUAUUGUAUUCACAUGUGUCAUGACGCUACCGAAUGCACUGAUGUCUGCUGUACAGGCAGAGACGUAUGAAGCCCACGUUGCAUCGGAACCUAUCAAUUCACAAGACGAUGUCCAAGAAAUUAUCGGUACUGUUGAGUGCAAGAUAUCAGACACGUCGAGCUCCCCAAAGGAUCCCGACACCCCGAGCUCCCCAAAAAAGCGAAGAGCACGUGGACGCCCGAGGAAGCUUGUUGAUUAAGUGCAAGCUAAAAAAACAAAAACUAUGGAAGAGCUCAGAGUGAAAUUUGAUAGCAAGACCAUUUCUAAACAAGUGUCUUCUUCGAUAUCAAGACGAUCACGCAAGCCAUCACAUGCUAUAUCGAGCCCAUUCAAGUUAACCAAAUGGUAGUUUAGGUACGUACUGGGUAGCACUAUAGUUAGCACUACUUAUGAUACAUUUGUCAUUUACGAUUUGGUGAUUGAACUUUAUCAAACGUGCAUCGACGAGCGGUGAAAGAUGGCUUGCUAACAAGAGCUAAGACCGUAAAAAGUAGUGUAUGAUAACAUACCUCAAUAUAGCAAUCUAUGUUGUCGCAGUACAUACUUUUGGCAAUCACGAACAUUAUAUAAUUUCGGCAAUUAGGAUCAUGUGCAUGCUACAUUUCUGGCAAUUACUAAUGCAUGCUCAUUUGUUUUGCUUCAAAUGGCAGUAUGUACUCCUGGCGAACAUUUGUGUGCUCUACUUUUGGCAGCUAUUAAUACAGGAUCAUUUAGAAUGGUUUAACUGUCCAUAGAAAUAACUAGAAUGUCAUUAUUUCUAAACAUACCAAAUUCAGUGCAAGAUAUAGCAUUAGCAUCUUCAGUUAGAGUCAUAACAUAUAUGUACCAUAUAUCACCAUAGUGGAGGUAUUAGGCAAGGUUGACCGCAAUGCACUUAUUAGUACAGGGUAGGUGCUUACAAGAUAAACAAUAGUUUAAUGAAACAACAACGCAUAUUAGUACAUGGUAGACGCUUAAUUAGGCGCCUAUCAUGUACAAAUUGGCACUGCUGCUUCCAAAAACCAUGUUUAAUAUAGUUAGCAUGUACCUAAGCACAUAGCAUUGGUAGUUGGCCAUUACUAUAAAUGAUCAAUGUACUACCAAACACUUAAACAUAGCAUGUUAAACACUCGCAACCCAAAAGAUAAACCGGCACAUAAGUUCAAGCAGUACGGUGGGGCAGAAGUAUCACACGACAACCAUAACAUAAAAAAAGUCUUAACUAGGGUGGGCCUGUAGUAACAACCAAGUAGCGCAUUAGAUCCUCGGCAUCUUGGCCGGACGAGGAGGCCUCGGGAGGUAGAAUGGAAGAUGCCCCUUCGCGUACUUCCCGAGGAAGGCACCAAAAGCGGAAUGUUCAGCCCGGUCCUGGGGCUUGCGGUUCCUCCCAUUACCACGGCUGAUAUCGGUGCCAUGCAUGAUUAGGUUGUCGUAGUUGCUCUUGAUUCUCGCGCAGCAGAAGGGGCAGGCUAUGUUGCCGUAGAGCCUGUUGGAGCCGCUGAGGUAUGGGAUUUCCCCAUUCCGCAGCCUCCUGAGGACGUAGCGGCUCUUGCUUUCCCUCCUCUCCUUACUAUCAUCCACGUCUUCGUCAUCUUCCUGUGUGUUAGUUGAUCGACAGCUAUGUCAGAUUAGGAAUACAGAAAUGUAGCAUUUCAUAAGAGUAUCAAGUACAUUCCGAAAGUAGGAACACAAAAAUAUGAUCAAUCAGAUGAUUCACACAACAUGUACCUCAUGUAUUGCUAUAUAUGUUUAUGUAUUAUUUGUUAUCUUUCUUGUUCUUUUUUCUUUGCUUUGCAUGCGUACCUGUUCUCCCCUGUAAAGAUGUACUCCUAUUUGUACAAUCUAAGUUGACAAUUAACUAAAGGGUUCGGGUUUUAGGGUAUGAACAAAUCAUUUUACUGCAUUCAAGCACAUAUUUUAUUUCAUAUUGAAAAUAGAUAAUUCCAAAAAUAGGAUCAUUUCCUGCCAUUUCUUACAACAAUAUUUUGUAUGAUCUGGUUUUAUCAUAAAGAGAUACCAGACAAUAUCUAAUUUAAUUAUAUUCAAACUAGAUGAGUACAUACUACAAAGUAAAACUACUGCAUCAACAAAGAAAAGAUUGCCCUCACUUGAUAUUGUGAAGACAACAAAUUAUAUGAAUCAUGUCAUGAAUUAUGUAUAAAAAGAGAAAUUUUUGACUGAGGUACAUCGGUUGCGAACAUAAGAAAUUAUGGCUUUAAUUACUCCUUGUUGCUAAUAAUUACAUAGGGUUCGUACAUAAGAAACUCUACAAUGAAUUACUUACUGCAAUCAGAAAAUGUCUUCACAAUAUAGCUGUAAGGCUUCAUGAUUUUCAUCAAAUAAACUAGUUUUUCUGACAACUAAAUAAAUGUACUGUUUACUAGGUCUCAACAGAUUUGGCAAUCAGAUUGAAAAUAAGAUGCAUAGUCCACUUCAUUAUAUGGAAAUCAUGAAGCAGAUAGAAAAGGUUUGCACUGUUAAGGUAUGGAAGAUUCUAUAAGAAAGGAGAAAAUGUGGUAUCAGCUUUGUGCAUAUGGAGCAUUAUGAUUACGCUUAGUAAUGAAAAUUUUCUAUAUAGUAAGAAUGCAAAAGAAAAUCUUGUUGCUAGAAAUGUACUGUUGCAUGGACUUGACAUGCAUGAUUACUGAUGUGGCAUAGUUUCAUGGAUUGAUUUGUCCAAGAGAAGAACUAAUCCAUGUUUGUUGUUAAUGGCAGGCAGUGGCCGUAAAUUGUUACUACAUGCAUCAGUACUGACCAUAUGCAUAACUCGAUGAUGUGGCCCAGUUUCAUGCAUACCAAAACCAGAUAAUGGGUUGCCACUAUUGAAGAACGGAGCAUAGUUUCAUGAAUAGCAAAACCAGAUAAUGGGUUGCACAAUUGAGGAACAGAGCAUAGUUGUAACAGGGGUUCUCUGAUUUAAACUCUCAUCAUUGAUAGUAUUGUUGGUCACUAGCGAGGCACACGUGCAUUGGGCGUGAAAGCAAGAGUUAAUGUCAAUUAUUUUAGAUGCACUUUACAUUGCUAUGUUACUGUAGCAAUGGAUUUUUGUGUGUGUUUUCUUUAAUAAAGAGAUAAUGUUUGUGCAUAAUAUGCAUUCAGAUUCACAAAGUUCAAAGCAUUAGCAAUUCAUUUAGAAGGAAAGACUUUGCGCUGUUAAAGUAUCCAAGAUUCUAUAACAAUGGAGAAACAUAGUGCUAUGAGGUUGUUUGUGCAUAGGUAAAAUUGUGCUUAAGCUUACAAAUGGAAUAUUCUAGAUAGUACGCAUGCUUGGAAUUUUUCUUUUGUAGUAAAUAAGAUAUCGAAUGGCCAACAAUGCUGGGAUUUACCAUCUGUCCACCGUUGGAUUGGCUUCAUCCAACAGCAAAUAUUCAAAGUUGUUUCCAAAGUACAUGUUUUAAAAGUUACCAUUUAUAGAAGCUCAAGCACCGUUGAUAAAUAUUUACUGUUGCAUGUCAACUUUUCAAGUUCUAGAUAUUAAUCAUUGAUCCUCUUGUUGAUUGUCAUGAAAUAAACAAAUUUGUAGGAAAUUUUCCAUCCACUCAAACCUGUCUAAAAGAAUCCUACGUUUUUAGUAUGCACAAUCAAACACUCAUACAAUCCUGUAGGAUUCAAGAUGACAUGCCAUUCUAAUCCCACGUUUUCCCUAUUCCUGCAUUUUGGAAAUCGUACGAAUCAAAGAGGUGAUACCUAACAAAUACACCAUUUUCUACAGCAGAACUGGUUCAUAAUCAGUUUCUAAAUCAUAUUCUUACUCAUCUUCACAAAAUAAUUGCACGCACAGGGGGAUGUUAGGCCUACAUUACUACUGUUCCAUGCCAGGUUUCAGAUUGAAGGGGUUUCCUUCCAAAUGUAUGAAACAACUAGUACUAAUCCUAACCCUAAGGGAGAGAUCAAGAAACAUAACCUAUCUGGACGAAAUCUAAUCCGUGCUGCAUGCAAUUUAGGAGAAAACCCCAUGGGAGAAAACCCCCAAAACAGAGUAGGAGAAUAGAGCAGAACAGAGUAGUACCUCCGAGAGCUCGUCGUCGACCUCCUCGUCGAACUCGACUGCCUUGUCCUGCACUUCCUUAGUGUCGAGCUCGGCCUCCUCGUAGUACUUGUCGAUGAGCUCGUACUGCUCGCGCUUCUGCUUGGCCCUCUGCUCCUCCAGAUCCACCUCCACCUCCUCCUCCACCUGCUCCCCGACCGCAGGCUCGGACGUUGUGAUGGCGGCCAGAGCAGUCACAACAGAUGGUGCACCGCCUCUCGUCGCCGCGAUGGCGCCAUCGGCCACGCCAACCGCGGCGGCAAUGACCACAGCAGGCUUCUCCACUGCUUCUACCGUUGCAUCCUUCUCCACCGCCGUGUCUUCACGGCCGGCCUUCAUCUUCCGACGAUGAAGGGCAAGGGAGAUGAUUGCUGGCUCGUAGGAGGUAGGGUUCGAGGUGAGAGGAGAGGGUUUUUGCUGAUUUGGGGAAGAAAAGUAGCAGGGGUGGGGGAGUGGGAGAGACGGGGUGGGGGAGGCGGCUUUUAUUUAGCUUGUGGGUGGACGUUUGGAGUUACCGAGGCUAGACGCGUGGAGUCGUGCGCUCGUGCACGCCCCAACCACUUUAAUUUUUUUGUCAUGAAUUUGUAUUUUUUUGACCUGUGGUUUAGCGAGGAAAUUAUACAAACCACCUACUUUUGGUGUUACUCUUGCAUAGAACACCUACUUUACAGGUUUGUUCCAAAAAAACACAUAUUGGGGUAAUUUGUUGCAGCAAGGUCUAAUCCGCCAUUUUGGGUGGGUUGACAUGAUUUCUAACAAGUGAGUCCAUUUAGUAAGUGCACCGCAGGAAAAAAACAUUCCACAUCAGCACCCAACUAGAGUUGUGCAAAAUUUACAAAUAGGUACUCCAGAAAUAAUUCUCAUUGUUUCUGGGCCCACAUAAAUGAACUAUUGAUAGUUUUUUUUGUUCCCACAUAACAUGUUGGCACACAAGAGCAUGCACCAAACUUGUUCUCCUUCGACACACAGACGCUAUAACGACGGACAUGUACCAGUAAUAUUCACAUUGCACGUGUCGAUACCAUCUUGACCAACACGCAACAACAUUGGUCUCAUUGGACUCACACAAGCCAAAAGGGGUCCAAAUCAUUCACCAAUUCUUCUAGUCACAUUCCACUCCAAGAUGCGACAAUGGACCGACAUGUAUCAAUCUUGAUCUAUUUGCACAAAUAAUUGGUAUAAGGGCCAGAUGCACCAAUAGAGGUCACAAUGCACUGACACGUGUCACUUGGGCCAACACACACCAUGCCCACAUACAAGGAACAAAUAAGCCUAUAGGAUCCACAUGCACCGAUAAACUACGUCUCGACAUGCAACAACUUUUUGUAGUCACAUUGCACGCAAAGUGCAUACCAAGACACGCCAAUGGCCCGUCAUGUAGCAAUCUUCAUGUGUUUUCACUAAUCAUGGUUUCUUUGGCCUCACGGAUGCCAUAAGGGCCAAAUGCACCAAUAUUGACACGUUGCACUCAAAUGUGCCACUUGGGCCAACAUGGAUCAUGGUUUCUUUACUAGCAAGGAUCACAUAAGCCAUUAUAUAGUGUUGGUACUCUAGCAAAUAACAACAUAUAUCAACAUUGGUCCUAGUUGCAGCUACAUAGGACCACUUAUGCCACACAUGGAGCGCAGCCUCGGUGCAUGGUUUUCUUUCCGUGCGUCUAUGUCUGGAUAAAUGUCUUAAGGAGAGGCAAAUUGGUUCUGCCGAACACACUGCAUCAACCGAACUGGCUAGACCCUUUACCUCACACCCGCAUGGCCCUGGUUCAAAUCCCCGUGAGGCAGUUGGAAAUGCCAAAAAAAUUUCUGUGGGUACUAACACGUGGGGUUCCCUUGUCAUCCACACAAACGCGCCACCACAUGUACCACAUUUGGCUAAGUGCACCUACUAAUCCACAUCAUUUUCAACUUUCUUCUUCCCCUUCUCGACAAGCGCCGCCGCCGCCAUCUCCAGACGACGCCUCUCUUCGCCGCCGGAUCUGCGUGGCCGCUGCCAACUCCAGCAAGUAGGUGAGAUCUCUCCUCAUCCCCCUCGUGAAUCUUCUUCCCUUCCCCAACCGCGUGCGUCCCCCUCUGGACGCGGAUCCGAUCUAGAAAUUUUAAUUGGUACAUGCGGUAGAUGAUUUGUUGAUGGAUAUGAUGGUUCUUUCAUAGAUUGAUGGACGUCGUAGUGUAGGAUCUGAGUUGUACCAGGGAAAAGUGAGGCCCUAUGCAAAUCAAAAUGCGGCCCUAUGUGUGAAAAAAUAAAUCAAAAUAAUUCAUAUGUUCUUCACUAUAGUAUGUAGUACUGACAUUGGAUUGGAUUGGAUUGGGAUUUAUUAGGUAGAUGAUACUGGCAUUGCCAUUGUCAUUGGCAUUGCUUUUUUAGGUAGAUGAUAGUAAACAGAUUUAAUAGGUAUUGCAUUUUAUGUUAUCACUAUGAUUUAUUAUAUGUAUGAUCUUUGUAUUGUACUAUGGUAUCGUACAAUUCAACUUAGAGUUCAACAUGUUCUAUGUAGAAUGGAGGAAGCACCAUGUGGACGGUGCAAGUCACGGUGCCGGACCAGCCUUUGUACUGCCACGCUGUUCGGCAUCUACUUCCAGCCUACUUUUGUUUUGCAGCGGUAACAAUUUAUAUGAACCUUCUGACAGUUCAUUUUUUUCUAUUUCCACUAAUGCAUUGUGUUUGUUAUUUGUUUUUUCUUGCACAGAUUGUCCCAUGCAAUGUGAGAUUGACAUUCAAUGAGCUCAUCGGAGAUACCGUGAUCUUCGACGCUCUUGGGGGGCCGUACACUAUGCAGGUCGAUAAGGGGCGAACGAUAACCCAGAUUGGAGGAGAUGAAUGGGAUCGUUUCUAAAAGCACAAGUGCUCCCUAGGUGGUUUUGGUAAUUAAUGACAACAUAUCUCUUGUUGGACUAACACUCCUAUCUAGUAUAUUUCAGAUAAGUUCAACAAUGGAGUGGCAUGGACUAAAGGAUGUGGGAACUCCUUCAAGAUGCUAAGGACAAAGGAUUGGCUAAAGCUUCAAGCUCAAGACUCUUCAUUUUACAUUUUAGUGAUCCAAGAUCACAUUGAGUUUAUAGGAAAAGCCAAUACUAUCAAGGAGGGAUAAGGUGUUGCUUAAUGAGCCUCUUGCUUCAUGUGCUUAGUGAUAUGCUCCAAAACCCUCAGCUACUUUCUCACAUCCACAAAUGACCUAAACCCAAAGCCAAAAUCGGUCACACCGAUCCUUCCUAUCCGGCGCCACCGAUUCCAAAAGUCAUAGCCACUAUCACAAACCCUAAGCAAAUCGGUUCUACCAAUAGGGAUCUCGGUCUCACCGAGAUGGGAUUGUAAUCUCAAUGUGUAUAUCCAUUACCAAAAUCGGUCUCACCGAGUUUGUGCAAUCAGUACUACCGAGAUUACAAUGCAAAGUUUCUGGUUAGCCUAUUACCAAAAUCGGUCUCACCGAGUUUGGGUGAUCGGUCUCACCGAGUUUGCCUGACCAACUCUCUGGUUAGCUAAUUACCAAAAUCGGUCUCACCAGUUUGUGUAAUCGGCCUCACCGAGAUUAUGUUAUGCCCUAACCCUAACCAUAUCGGUCUCACCGAGAUGCAAGUCAGUCCCAUCGAAAACCCUAACGUUCACUAGGUUUACUAAAUCGGUCCGACCAGUUUAACAAUUCGGUCCCACCGAGUUUGGUAAAUUGUGUGUAACGGUUAGAUUUUGUGUGGAGGUUACAUAUACCCCUCCACCUCCUCUUCAUUCGUGGAGAGAGCCAUCAGACUGAACCUACACUUCCAGCAUCCUAUUUCUGAUAGAGAACUACCUACUCAUGUGUUGAGGCCAAGAUAUUCCAUUCCUACCAUAUGAAUCUUGAUCUCUAGCCUUCCCAAGUUGCUUUCCACUCAAAUCUUCUUUCCACCAGAUCCAAAACCUAUGACAGAGAGUUGAGUGUUGGGGAGACUAUCACUUGAAGCACAAGAGCAAGGAGUUCAUCAUCAACACACCGUUUGUUACUUCUUGGAGAGUGGUGUCUCCUAGAUUGGCUAGGUGUCACUUGGGAGCCUCCGACAAGAUUGUGGAGUUGAACCAAGGAGUUUGUAAGGGCAAGGAGAUCGCCUACUUCGUGAAGAUCUACCGCUAGUGAGGCAAGUCCUUCGUGGGCGACGGCCAUGGUGGGAUAGACAAGGUUGCUUCUUCGUGGACCCUUCGUGGGUGGAGCCCUCCGUGGACUCGCGCAACCGUUACCCUUCGUGGGUUGAAGUCUCCAUCAACGUGGAUGUAGGAUAGCACCACCUAUCCGAACCACGCCAAAAACAUCCGUGUCUCCAAUUGCGUUUGAAUCCUCCAAACCCUUCCCUUUACUUUCUUGCAAGUUGCAUGCUUUACUUUCCGCUGCUCAUAUACUCUUUGCAUACUUGCUUGAUAUGUAUCGUGAAUGUUGAAGUUGUGCCUAAACUCCACUUGAACUUCAAAAAGACUAAAAACUGCAACUUUGGUACUUAGUGUCUAAUCCCCCCCCCCCUCUAGACACCUCUUCUCAAGAUCAUACAGUUUCAUCGCCCGCUUGCGUCUUAGUGGGGGUGAACGGAUCCUCUUCUCCUUAAGAGGACAAAGGCCCAGGAUUUCUGUUAUCUAUCUGAAUUUGAUUGACGAUAGUGAGGAUGAGGUUCAUGAGGAGGACGAUGGUGAGGAUUCAGAUGAUGAUGAGAACCCACUUGAUGAAACCCUCUAUGUCCAAGGAGUGAGGCUGAGCGACAAGGAAACCAGCAACCUCUGGGACAUGUUUCCGCUACGUGAAGACUACGUCGGGAUGCCAUUCGUGACCCGCCUCACAAAGACGAAUGUUAAACAGCAUCUCAUGGUAUGUUACUUAGUGUGGUAAUUACAUGAUAUGCAUGCUUAAUUAGUGUAGUAUUUGAUAUGAUAUGCAUGUUGUAGUACUGUGAUGAUAUGCCUAGUGUAGAAUUCAUUUAGUGCAGAAUUUUAUGGUAUGCAUGUGUUGUAGUAAUGCGAUAUAUGCUUAUGUAGUGUAGUAAUAUGCGAUGAUAUGCUUAGUGUAUGUAGUAUAUAAUCUAAUGAUAUGCUUAAUUACUGUAGUAAUUUGAUGAUUAGCGUGUAUUGUAGUGAUGUGACGUGACAUAUGUGUCUUGAAGUGUAUGGUUUGUUGAUAAUUGCACGUGACAUGCUCAUAUAUCAUAUCAACUGUUUUCAGAAAUUACCUAAGAGGUUAUCUGAUAGCUGUGGCAUCGAGCCGGAUGAAGAAGGCAUGGCUGCUGGACUACGCCUUACCAGAACGGGCUCCAUCACCACCUGUGCAUAUGCAGUGGACACGCACGGUCGCACUAUCUUCAACCGGGAGGGGUGGAAGAAGUUCCUUCAUGGCAAGAAUCUUUCGGUAGGUCAGGGCAUCCUACUCACUAUUGCGAAUACCCGUCGCCGUGACUUGAGGAUGAUGAUCACCAUCAACCUCAUUUGGAACUGGCUGGGCCAUGUUUCGAUGUGAAAUGAACUUCGUAUGUUAGCUCUUGUUUCAGAGUACUUGUCGUGUAUUACUGUACCUAUAUAUAUAUAUUAUAUUAUAUAUAUAUAUAUAUAUAUAUAUAUAUAUAUAUAUAUAUACACAUAAACACUAUUCUGAUCACGGGAUCAGAAUAAUAUUCUGAUCACAACCUGAACUGCCUGAGUAACGCGCCUGAACUUCUCUCUGUACAAACCCGACCUUCGGGCUAUUUUCGCAACCGUGCCUUCUACCGCGAGUUUUUCUGGUUAGUCGUGUUCCAUGUGAUGUAAGUGUAAUCUUCAAACGAUUUUUAGCAACUAAAUACUCGUUUUAGAUAGCAAUCUCGCUCAUAGGCGGAUUUUGCACUCGGGUCGUGAAGAACUCGCGUUUUUUGCGAUUUUACGGCCUGAGUUGUUCGACCUGAACUUCCCCCUGUGCUAGGUUGAACUUCCCGCAACAUUGCCCAAAUAGGUCUUACUAUAUACCGUUGGAAAGCUAUGGACACGUGUAUCAUGACCCAAGUUAAAUUUUUCGCAAAAUGUAAGCGGUUUAAGAGCAGUUUUGAAAACCGUUUUUUCUUCACACAAAAAAUGUGAAUCGUAAUUUCGAUCGCAUUUCUAAACCGUUUAUCGGAAUGAGACAUAUAAUAUGGCGUUGAAAAGCUGCUGCAAAACCGCUCCUUCCACAUGUUUAAAGUUUUUUCUAAUUUCCUAUGGUUAAAGAGUAAUUUGAAAAAACGUAAAAUUUCGUAAACCGGACAGCUGAGUUCGUUUUUUCGAUGUAAUUUCUAAACGGCUAAUCCAAUGGAGGCAUAUGAUAUGGCGUCGGAAAGCUUAGAAAAAUGCUCUACUUUUUCAUCUUGACGGUUUUUUUCUAAUUUUGAAUGGUUUAAGAGUAAUUUAGAAAAUGAUCCAAGUCCUACCGAGUUCGUAUUUUCGAGCUAAUUUUUUAACCGUGCGUCCGAAUGCAGCAAAUGAUAUGGCGUUCGAAAGCUUGAACAAAUGCGAAACUUUUUGGUAUGUAUUGUUUCUCCCAAUUGUUUACGGUUUUAAGUCAGUUUCAAAAAUGGCGAAAAACGUAUUUUCGCCAUAAUUUCUACAAACUUUAUCGGAAUUGGGCAAAUAAUAUACCGUUGAAAAGCUACGGAAAAUGCGAAACUCUUUCGUGUUGAUGGUUUUCUCUGGUUCCUAGCGGUUUUUAUGUAAUUUCGAAAACGGCGAGAUCACUCGUUCUGCCUUUAUUUCAAAACAGAUUCUUCGAAAAUGCACCGCAUGAAGAACCUGAACUUCUCGGCGCGUGUACCUGAACUUCACUCUGUUUUUCACGUGAUUUUUUUGCUCAUAGCUCUCGAUCCACUGCUCGUACCUCUCCAUCCACUCACCGGAAUUGGGCAAGUGAUAUACCGAUGGAAAGCUGUUGUAAACACGCAACUUUCCCGUGUUGAUCAUUUUUUCAUACUCAUGACGAUUUUAAAAGUUUUUUAUCCGAAAUUCAUUUAGCGUAGUAGUUGAACUUCCUGCUAUUUUCACGUUGAACUUCUGUGACGUAUUUUUGUUUGUAAUUUUCUCAUCCACUCGUCGGUGACAAAUUAUAUUCCUUUUGUACAAACCGCUCUCAAAAUAAUUUUUCUAACUUUCUCCGACCGAGGACUUGAACUUAUGACAACAACAAAUUUGGACCUUACCUUUUUAUUCAUUUUUCUCAUAUUAAACACACACCAUGUAGUACAUGAACUUUUUCCAUUUUUAUAAUUUGAAUUUUUUAUUUUCUUUUUGAAAUCAAAUUGCUUCCAAAUAAUAACUGAACUUCUUUGUGGAUUGAGAUAAUUAUUUUAAAAAUCAAAAAUAUUUUUUUUGUGUUUUCGAACAUGGAAAUAUAAGGUGAACCUCUCUCGCAAGAAUUUUUGAACUUCCCCGGACAGAGCACGUGAACUUCUUGCAACAAACCUUUUAAGCUGUUAGUUUUCUAUUCUUUUCUGAAAUGCAUUCCGUGUAGUAGUUGAACUUCCCGCUGUUUUCACCUUGAGCUUCUGUCACGUAUUUUUGUUCAACUUCUCUCACAACAAUUUUUGAACUUUAUCGGGCCGAGCACUUGAACUUCUAGAAACAAAAUCAUUAGCCUUUGCUUUUUCAUUCUUUUUUUAUACAAAAUGCACACCGUGUAGUACGUGAACUUCUGGUAGUUAUCAAUCUGAACUUCUCUCGGUUACGUGAAAAUAUCUGAGUUUUUUAUGAAUAUUAAUCUGACUUUCUUAAUAUUUUUUUAUGAAUUCUGAAGCGCUCUAUUUUUAAAAGUUGAACUUCUUGUUAUUUUAUUUUUGAACUUCUUGUUUCCAUUCUUUAAUAACAAGGAAAAUCCGAGUUUUCUAUAAUCAUGGAACUUCUCCAUCUUUUUAAUUUGGACUUCCUGGUUUUAUUUCUUAACUUUUUUAUGAAUUCUGAAGCGCUCUAUUUUUAAAAGUUGAACUUCUUGUUAUUUUAUUUUUGAACUUCUUGUUUCCAUUCUUUAAUAACAAGGAAAAUCCGAGUUUUCUAUAAUCAUCGAACUUCUCCAUCUUUUUAAUUUGGACUUCCUGGUUUUAUUUCUUAACUUUUCUAUGAAAUUUGAAGCGCUCUAUUUUUAAAAUUUGUUGUCUUUAAAAUUUUCAAUUACUAAGUAGUUAUUCUACAUGACCCAUCCACAUAAUAAUAUAUGAACUUCUCAGGAACUUAUUUUUCAUUAAGCACAUUUAAGUACAUAAUAUACAGGAAGGAGGUCGAAGAUGUGAGCGCGGAUGCAUCUACAUGUAGGAAAAUUUUUGGGUGCUCUUCUUUUUUGAAUGUAGGGUGCUAUUUUUUUAAGAGUGCAAGGUCAGAACAAGUCUCAUAUCCAUUGAACAUCUACAAUAUUAACUCUCAAACAUCAGCAAAACAACUUGAAGAAAAACAGUACCAGUUCUCAUUUGGCAUAUCAACAAGCAUAUACAGAGCACGUAAUCAGAACCUACUCUCGGCAUAAAUUCACCAUGAUGUUUUUAUUGCAUGCUGGCCUGUUCUCCUGGAGCACAAGACAGAGGAGAGGCGAGACAUUGUGCAUGCUUCCCAACCAGUACUUUUUGAACUUCCAUAUUUUUUUUGGAACCAUGAUCAUGGGGAAGUUCUAUGAAAUUUGACGGGGAAGGUCGCUGAGAGAAGCGACAACAGGUAACACACGAGCGAUGGUGACCAUAUGGCCAGCUUGCGGCGAACCAGCAACCUGUACUCGAGAGAAGGAAGCUGCACUGCAGUUGAAAGUCCAAGAACCGAUGUCGCGUGAUGCCGAGCGUGGGGAAGAUGACCGGAGCUGGUGCAAGGGGGAGCAGGAGGCCGCCCCAUGCAUGCCUCUUCCCAUGCCUUGCCGGGGGUCGUGGCCGGCUGGAUCCAGCCGCCCGCUCGACUGGAUCGGCGAUAAGGUUUACGGGGGCGGCGUGAUCCGCGCGGUGGCUAGGUCCGCUGCACGGCGAAGGGAUGGUGGCGCUUGGAGGUGAGGAUGAGGGCGUGGCGGCGGGGUUCUCCGGGGAGGGCGUGCGCCGGCGUGGGGAUCGGGGAUCCGGGGAGGUGGCUCGGCUACGGGGGGAAGCGGGGGCGUGGCGGCUCCGCGGGCCGGGAAGGAGGCGGCGGUGGUUGCGAGGGCCGGGGAGGGAGGCGGCGGUGGCUGCACGGGCGGAGGGAGGCGGUGGCCGCGCUGGCCAAGGAGGGAGGCGGUGGUCGCGCCGGCCAGGGAGGAAGGCGGUGGUGGCCGCGNNNNNNNNNNNNNNNNNNNNNNNNNNNNNNNNNNNNNNNNNNNNNNNNNNNNNNNNNNNNNNNNNNNNNNNNNNNNNNNNNNNNNNNNNNNNNNNNNNNNNNNNNNNNNNNNNNNNNNNNNNNNNNNNNNNNNNNNNNNNNNNNNNNNNNNNNNNNNNNNNNNNNNNNNNNNNNNNNNNNNNNNNNNNNNNNNNNNNNNNNNNNNNNNNNNNNNNNNNNNNNNNNNNNNNNNNNNNNNNNNNNNNNNNNNNNNNNCUGUGUGGUGUGGUUCGUAGCAGAGGGCAGAUGGGAUCGGGGAGGGGAUCGUGGGGAUGGUGGGGGUGGGUGGAGAUUUUUUCCUUUUUUACCGAUUCGGGAGUUUGGAAGGAUCCCGUCACUCCAUAUAUAAGCACCCCGUGAUCCAAAUAGUUAUUUUGAUCCCAUGAUCAUAAUAGUGCUACUCUCUCUCUCUCUCUCUCUCUCUCUAUAUAUAUAUAUAUAUAUAUAUAUAUAUAUAUAGGUUCAAUAAAUGGGCCAUGUAUCGAUGUGAAAUGAACUUGUUAUGUUUGGGCUUGCUUUGCUAUUGCCCCAGCGGUUAUUUGUGACUUCCUUGAACUUGAAUCUGUCUUGAAAUGUUAUUGGAUGCUUGGUGAUGUUGCUUUAUAGUAUAAAGCUGGGGGCGUUGGGGGACCUUUUUAGUAGGUUUGGUUAAUGGAGUUUAGCUCUUAUUGUACUUAUUGUUUUCUUUUCCAUACAAUUCUGAACCCAAACUACACAUGGCACAACCUUCUGUGAUUAGUUCCUUUGAUAACUAGUACUCCCUCUGUAAACUAAUAUAAGAGCGUUUAGAUUACUAAAAUAGUGAUCUAAAUGCUCUUAUAUUAGUUUACGGAGGGAGUAUUGAAGAGCAGCCACAGAGUUCCAUUCACAAUUUACUUGAAUUUUUGUUUUGAUGGAUAAACAAAAUAGGAAGCUAGCAAACUUAUUUAACAAGAUAAGCAAACUAUGUACUUGAUUACAUAAGCAAACUUAUUCAACCCUGACAAACUAGACAUAAACAAACAGGUUCAACUAUGACACACAUGACAUAUACAAGCUGGUUUAACCCAAGAAAAGCAAACUACAAAUUUCAAACAAUAAGAUAAAGGACAAGCACAAGCGCAAGCAACACGAAGGCAGAUUUUGAUGUCUCCUCAUCCCGCAUAGUGGCAGUGGUAGGAGGGGUCCUCUUCCUGCUCUUUUGAAAUUUCCAGACCUCUUUUGAUGUUGUUGAUUAUCUUCCACGACUUGUAGGUGGCGUACGCAUCUAUUGUUGCGUACUCGAUGAAUUAAUCUGGCAGUGGGCUGACCCCCCACAGUUUAUGGUUUGCCUGCUUGUCGAUCUUGUUCUUCAUCUUGCUGUAGAAUGGGUGGAUGACGCUGGCUGCAACAUUAGCCAAGGAGUCAUACGGUUUUCCGUUGUAUGGAACUCUCCAGUUGCGCUGAAUGUCGAUGUGCUUGUUGGGGUUUAUCUCCAAACCAGACAUCUUCAACUUGUCCCUGUCAUUUUUAAUGCUGAAACCGGCAAAGGUGAACAACUUCUCCUCCUGUAGGAACUCUUUGAGGCGCUUUGGCCUGCUAGGGGAGAGACAAGUGAUGAAUACAUGGAGUACUAGUGUUUAUUUUCAAGAUUUAAUCAUCUGUUUUUUACGGUUUACAAGUGAAUAAUACAUGGAGUAGAUGCUUAUACAGUAUAAGUCAUGGAUGAAUGUAGUUCAGAAACUAGUACACAAAGUUCUGAAAUUAAAAUCAAGUACACCAUGUUAUUUUUCUUUUUGGAAUAUAUAGUUGAGUCAAUGAUCUAUUUGCUUUCUUAGUGCCAGUUUAGUUUUAUUUUGUUGAAUAAAAUAACAUAUACCUCUGCUUCACCAAGUUCUUAAGUUUUUUUGGUGGUGAAAAUAACACCAGACCAAGUUCAGAAACUACUUGACUACAUCAAGUUCAGAAAAUUAGACUAAUGAAUCAAGAUGAGAAACUACACUUGUACAUCAAGCUCACAAAUUAAUCUUGUGCAACAAUUUCAGAUACUAUUCAAGUGCACCAGGUUCAAAAUAUAUUCUAGUGCAUCUACUUUGAGGAACUGCACUAGUGCAUCCAUUUUCACAAACUACACUAGUACAUCUAGUAUGAAACUAGUCUAAUGAAAUUUUGAGGGAGCAGUAUUGAUGAAUGGAAGAGGGUGAAUGAGUAGGAUUUUUCACCAUUUUGUGGCCGCAGCAAUGUGGUACACGAGGCAGAGACCCUCCACGCAGAACUGCAGAACUGCUGCCAUCUGCGGAGGUUCAUCAUCUUUGGUAAACUCCACAUCAACACCGAUGAUGUGGGGAUACGAGCCGCAUGCGCUCCUCUUGAUCCAAAAGAUCAUCUCGUCGGCCUUGUCUGGUUCGCUAGUGCAGACGACCUCCAUCAUCUCCUUGCCGUGGAGCUCAACCCCUUUGAGGGUUACGGUGUACUUGCGCUUCUGACCGGGAACGUGAAUGACGUCAAGGUUGCCGCUCUGGUCGGACAUCUGGCCACAAUGACGCUUGGCAGACGCUUCCUCCGCCAUUACCCUCCUCCUACGACUGCGAUGUUUGUGGGUUGUUUGUAGAAGAGAUGGAAGCGGCAAUGGAGGUUCUCGGAAUGAGGCAGUGAUGUAGUCGAUUUGGGGCUUUUCCACGACUGGGAUGGGGACGUGGGGGAGGUGGUUCGUGUGUAGGAUGUGGGGUUAGUGGUGGUGGGGCGCAGUUGCAAUCCGACGUGGCAACUGCGCUCUAUGCACUGCUGGGUUUGCGUGCGUCUGAGUUUAGUCCCACCACGGGCCUGCAUCCUGGCCCAUAUCACUGGGUUUGUUGUCGUAUGCGAGCCGUGGUGUGCGAAAUAUCAUGUUAGGUAGGUGGGCUUUUUUCUAUAAAAUCUUUUUUUGCCUAUGUGACAUGUUGACUUAUACUAAAAUAACACUUCCUUUUUUUAGGUACACGUUACUUAUGUGAAAAGUUUAAGUUUGAUAACAAUUAAAAACAUUUAAAACCUUGCCACAUUGGCUUUCUUGGACAUGUCUAAAAAGUUUAAGUUUGAAAACAAUUGAAAAACAUGUAAAACCUUGCAUCAUUGAAUUUUAAUUUUAAAAUAAAUUUGAAAUAUUGCAGUUAAUUUGUAGACCAUCUCUAAAUCAAACCAAAUUUGUUUUACAUUGUCACAUACAUGUGACAAACAUUGUUAUUUACAGAUCAUGUGUGCAAAAACUAAGGUGAUUUAGAUGUGGUCGAAAAAAGGUGAUUUUUUUUCACCACCUCCAAAUCACCUAAAAUUUAUUCUACAUGCUCAAAUAGAUGAGCCAAACAUGUCUAUGACAGAAAUUUGAAAAAAAAUGUAUCCUACAAUUCCCGCUUAAGGUGUAGACCAUUGUUUUGAUCAGUCAGUCUACAAGGCAGAAUAAAUUCAAAACAAAUUAAAAAAUUAUAAAACAUUGAAAACCUAGCUAUGUUUGUGCAACAUAUCAAGUGUGCAAAAUUAGAGAUGAUUUAGAGGAGGUCAAAAAAAUCACGCUAAAACACGAGGGGCCAUUUGGUCUCACUUAAGCCAGUUUUUGUAUAAAAUGUGAUUUUUCUACCACCUCCAAAUCACCACAAAUUUGUUCUACAUGCUUAAAUAGAUGUGCCUAGCAUGUCUAUGAGAGAAAUUUGGAAAAAAUGUAUUCUACAAUGUCCGCUUAAGGUGUAGACCGUUGUUUUGAUCAGUCAGUCUACAGGACAGAAUAAAUUCAAAAAAAAUUAAACAAUUAGAAAACCUUGAAAACCUAGCUAUGUUUUUGCGACAUAUUAAGUGUGCAAAAUUAUAGGUGAUUUAGAGAAGGUCGAAAAAAUCAUGCUUAAACACGAGGGACCAUUUGGUCUCACUUAAGCCAUUUUUUGUAGAAAAUGUGAUUUUUUUACACCACCUCCAAAUCACCCCAAAUUUGUUCUAGAUGCUCAAAAUAGAUGUGCCAAGCAUGUCUAUGAAAGAAAUUUGGAAAAAAAUGUAUCCUACAAUGCCUGCUUAAGGUGUAGACCAAUGUUUUGAUCAGUCAGUCUACACGGCAAAAUAAAUUAGAAACAAUUAUAAAAUUUUAAAACCUUGAAACCUAGCUAUGUUUGUGCAACAUAUCAAGUGUGAAAAAUUAUAGGUGAUUUAGAGGAGGUGGAAAAAAUCACGCUAAAACACGAGGGACCAUUUGGUCUACACUUAAGCCAGUUUUUGUAGAAAAUGUGAUUUUUUUCCACCACCGCCAAAUCACCACAAAUUUGUUCUACAUGCUUAAAUAUAUGUGCCUAGCAUGUCUAUGAGAGAAAUUUGGAAAAAAAUGUAUCCUACAAUGCCCGCUUAAGAUGUAGACCGUUGUUUUCAUGAGUCAGUCUACAGGGCAGAAUAAAUUCAAAAAAAAUUCUAAAACCUUGAAAACCUAGCUAUAUUUGUGCAACAUAUCAAGUGUGAAAAAUUAUAGGUGAUUUAGAGAAGGUCUAAAAAAUCAGCUUAAACACGAGGUACCAUUUGGUCUCACUUAAGCCAUUUUUUGUAGAAAAUGUGAUUUUUUCCACCACCUUCAAAUCACCCCAAAUUUGUUCUAGAUGCUCAAAUAGAUGUUCCAAGCAUGUCUAUGAAAGAAAUUUGGAAAAAAUGUAUCCUACAAUGCCCGCUUAAGGUGUAGACCGAUGUUUUGAUCAGUCAGUCUAUAGCGCAGAAUAAAUUCAAAAAAAAUUAUAAAAUCUUGAAAACCUAGCUAUGCUUGUGCAACAUAUCAAGUGUGCAAAAUUAGAGGUGGUUUAGAGGAAGUCGAAAAAAUCAUUCUAAAACACGAGGGACCAUUUGGUCACUUAAGCCAGUUUUUGUAGAAAAUGUGUUUUCCACCACAUCCAAAUCACCACAAAUUUUUUCUACAUGCUUAAAUAGAUGUGUCUAGCAUGUCUAUGAGAGAAAUUUGGAGAAAAAUGUAUCCUACAAUGCCCGCUUAAGGUGUGGACCGUUGUUUUGAUCAGUCAGUCUACCAGGCAAAAUAAAUUCAAAAAAAAUUAAAAAAUUAUAAAACCUUGAAAAUCUAGCUAUGUUUGUGCAAAAUAUCAAGUGUGCAAAAUUAUAGGUGAUUUAGAGAAGGUCGAAAAAAUCACACUUAAACACGCGGGACCAUUUUCUCUCACUUAAGCCAUUUUUUGUAGAAAAUGUGAUUUUUUUUCCACCACCUCCAAAUCACCCCAAAUUUGUUCUAGAUGCUCAAAUAGAUGUGCCAAGCAUGUCUAUCAAAGAAAUUUGAAAAAAAAUGUACCUACAAUGCCCGCUUAAGGUGUAGACCGAUGUUUCGAUCAGUUAGUCUACAGGGCAGAAUAAAUUCAAAAAAAAUAAAAAAAAUUAUAAAACCUUGAAAACAUAGUUAUGUUUGUGCAACAUAUCAAGUGUGCAAAAUUAUAGGGUAUUUAGAGGAGGUCGAAAAAAAUCACGGUUUAAUUUGUGUGUGGGGGGAGGGGGGGGUAGACCUCCCGAGAGCCGUUUACUGGUCAUUUUCGUUCCGUAUAUGUGUAAACAUUCCAAAUUUUGCCCAACAUGAAAAGAAUAUUAUGCGUGCAUGCUCUAUGUGGUCAAGGGAUGCGAUGCAGCAAAAUUGGGAUCAUUAGUGCAUGUAUACGCAAGUAGGGUCUCUGAAACGCACUUUUUGGGGAUAGCCUGUCACCACCCCGAGAGCACUAGCUCGGUUUCUCACCUGUAUGAAACCAACCCAACAUUUUACGAUGACAAGUCAUGGCCAUGUUAGGGCUACUUGCCAUGUUUCAACCAUCUUCAACAAAUUUUGAAAGUGUCGUCACAUGCGGGAUUUUUUCGGUCAUUAGUACAAUGUGGACCAUUUUCAACAUUUAUUGCAUGUUUUGUCACGUAUGGCAUUUUUCAGGCAUAUGCGACAUGAAAAAACCAUUUUUAAUACUUAAAAAACAAGGACAAUAUUUUCUAGAUUUUUUGGGAUAUCAUUGUGAUAUGAUUGAAAUCUCACAUAACUCACGCGGCCCACCCCUCCCUAAAUCCCGCAAUUACAGCGCCUCAUUCUAACCACCCGGCCGUGCCAUCCACAGCUCCCACGGCUGCUGCACGAUCAGAUCGGAGAUGCCGGGCUCACACGGAUUACAGCAGUCGCCGGCCACCGCCCACCACCAUGAGGGGUCGGACUUCAGUGUUCUUCUCCCGCUCCCUCCGUUUAUCCUUGUCGCCGUCUACUGCACUAUAGGGGCACUUCUAGUUUGCGACGCACUGUCCACGGCCAUCAACUCGGCGCCGCCGUCUCCGAGAGAAGGUAUUUCCUGAUCGUAGCUUUUUUUAAUCGUUGUCGGCCGCUCCUUUAGUAGUUGAACCCUCAUAGGUUUUGCACAACUUCACGUGGUUAAGCAAUUGGAUACCCAUGUUAAACUACGCUUAUUUUAUGCACGACCAACUAGGUUGUGUGCUUAAAGUGAUAAGUGGAUCAUAUGUUAAAUGAUGCACUUAUUUUUUUUUAAUAUUAGUUGACUGCUAAUUUUGUUAUACAUCUUUUAAUUAUUGUCUUCAUAUUAAUUGACCCGGUUUUCAUCAUUGCAUACAAGCUAGCAAUGUCAGUUUUAGAUAAAAGUCUUUGUAACAGAGAAAAGCCUUGAAGAACUCAAACUAAAAUUUGACAGCAAGACCGUACGCAAACAAAUGUUUUUGUUAUCAUCACGGUCACGUAGAGCCAUGAGCAGCUAUGUUGAGCCCAUUCAAACACAAAUAGGUAGCAUCAAUUGAUACAUGAUCUUGCUCAUGCUCUACUUUUAGCAUCAUUUGAUACAUGUUCAGUUCUUAUCAUAAAGUGGAUAUAUGUACCUUUGGCAAUCAUGAGCAUCCUCUACUUAUUGCUAUAACUAAUGCAUCCUUAGUACAAAAAUUGAAUUGGCAAUACGGUUGUAUUGGCAAUGAUUUGCAUGCUUUACUUUUGGCAAGAACUAAUGCAUAGAUGAGUUAUAACUGGUCAUAGAUAUGGCUGGAACAUCUAGAGUUAUCAUCACGGUCACGCGGAGACCCUAAACCAUCACCAGAUAUGUUGAGCCCAUUCAAACACAAAUAAAGCAGCAAUUGAUACAUGUUCAUGCUCAUGCUUUACUUUUGGCAUAAUUUGAUACAUGUUCAGUUCUUACCAGAAAGUGGAAACAUGCACUUUUGGGAAACAUGAGCGUCCUCUACUUAUUGCAAUAACUAAGGCAUCCUCAGUACAAAGCUUCAAUUGGCAAUAGGUAGAAUUGGCAAUCAUUUGCAUGCUUUACUUUUGGCAAAAACUAAUGCAUAGUUCAGUUGUAACUGGUCAUAGAUAUGGCUGGAACAUCCUGAGUUAUAAACUGAACAUAAUCAUGCCAAGCUAUAACUACCAUAUUUAUAGUAAUAGAGUUCCUAGCAUGCAUCACCAUAUGAUUCAAGAACGGUUGAAUUAACACAGCUAACAUAACAUAGACCAUCGUACGAUACUUGAGUUGCUAUGGCCUUGUACAAUGCAAGGUGAUUAGGCGAGGUGUUUAGAGAGAUAAACCAGGCUUUUCUUAAGCACCGGUGCUUAUUUGUACAGGGUAGACGCAUAACUAGGCGUCUGUCCUGUACAAAUAGCCAAUGGUGCUUCAGGAAAAACCCAGUUUAUUUUUCUAAGCACCACCCUUAGCAUCUACCAUUGUAUAAUGCCUAACAUGCAUCAGCAAAAUAGUACUAAUAACAACUUAGACAACUUAAGCAGGUUAGCAGCAAACACUUAGAUAAACGGCAGAUUAACCACCGCACACCAUAAGUUCACACCCACCAUAGACCAUAGGACAUAAGUUCUUACACACCAUAGAUAAUAAGUUUUAGAGUCGACCAGUGAAUACCGAUAACAUAAAAGGACACGGCGGUCCUGGGGCAGCAGCAGUAGUCUAGCAGCACAUCACUUGUCUCCCAUGUUCAGCAGCGGCGCGGCGGGAUGUAGUAGGGCUCAUUGACUUUGACAAUCUUUAGGAAGCGCCCGUAGGCCGCAUAUUUGGCCAGAGUACUGGCCUUUUGCUUCCUACUGUAGGAGUUGCCAGUGGCAACAGCAUGCUGCAUCAAGCCAUCUAUGCCGCCCUUGAUCGCCUUGCCAUAGAAGGGGCAACCAAGCUUGCCAUAGAAACAGUACUUGAAUUUUCCAGCAAUCAGCUGCCUCAUGAUGUAGCGGCUCUUGUUGUGCCUGCUGUCCAUGUCAUACCCCACAUCAUCGUCAUCCUCCUGUGAAUUAGUACACAAAGAAGAAUUCAGUUAAUCUAUUCUGCUACAUUGCUCUUAAUUAGAAUGUUUGAAAAGUACAGACGUGUAACAUGACAACUAUCUAUUUGCUGGAAAUAAGGCGUAUAUGCACAUACAUACUUGACCCAAAUAAUUUGACAUGCAUAAAUAUGGAUGGUGGAAUAGUUGCAUUGAUAGAUUAGUGCACAAGAAGUACAUAAUUAACACAUGAAAGAAUUCAUGAUGUGGCUUGGUUUAAUGAUACUUGAUACUUGUUACAGGUGUAAUUCUGAUUGGAAUCAGAAAAAAGGCUUCAUUAUACUCCUCCAUGUUACACACAAGGGGGUAUUCUUCUAUCUACUAGAAUCAAGAAACCAAUAUUCUUUCUAAGAGCAGCAAUACUAAUUCUCCAACAUUGUUAGCCCCUGAUAACUUUUAGAAGGAAAUUGAUAAAGGAGCUAUGGGCUACUAUCUUUAUCCCUUAACUUGUGACUCUGAUGAUACCGGUGUGGAAAAUACUUUGGAGGAACUUAACUUGGAAAAGGAAAUUUUGUCAUGCAAAACAAAGUGUUUUUUGUCUAUUUAUUGGAAUCAGAAAUUGAAUUCCAGUUUUACAAAUAUAUGCUAAAAAAGAUUCAUUCCAGUGGUCUAAAAAAAGAUUCAUAAAUUGAAUUCUAGUUUUACAAAUACAAGUUGAGUAUUUAGGGCAUGUUGUCUAAAAAACAUUCAUUCCAGUGGUCAGAUGCUGAAAUUGAGGCCUUCACAACAUUGAAGAAUUGUCUGGUCACUGCUCUUGUUAUGGCUUUGCCUUAUUUGACCCUACCAUUUACUUUUUAAAUAGAUGCAUCAGGUGAAGGUAUUGGUUCUGUCCUCAUGCAACAAGGCAGACCAAUUGCUAGAAAAGGAAAUGUUGUCAUGCAAAACAGGGGUUGUCAAAGACAUAAUCAAGUGGUCGGAACAGGAUUCUUACUAAUUAAAUCUGAAUGUAGAUGCAUCAUAUGAUAGUUAAGAAGGAGAUGAGUCGACGGGUGGUGUUUUAAGAGAUCAGUAUGGCAACUUUGUGUCAAUUCAGUAAAUUACCAUUAUAUUGCAAAUGCAUCAUCUGCCUGCUUGAUGGAUUCAGUGGCAAUGAAAGAAGGCCUAUCUUUGGUAGCACCUGUAGGCUAUCAUCAAAUUAUUGUAGAAUGGGAUUUCUUACAAGUUGUUCAAGCUUUUACUCGAGGUAACACAUGGUGGAAUGAAGGAUCACGUAUUAUUGUUGAUAGUUUUGAUCUAGUUCUGGAGAUAGGAACUGCGCAUUUUCUCACUGUCCUCGGGAAGCCAAUGGUGUCGCACAUGAGAUCGCUAGAAAUAGCUAUGAGAAUCAUCUAUCUUGUAUUUGGGUUGAUUACCCCACUUCUUUCAUUCAUGUAUCCCUUGUGAACAAUGUAAGUUUGCUUAAUCAAUAAAACAUGCCGUGAUGGAAUCAGAUAAUGAAUCUCUGUUUUAGCUAUACUAGUGGUUUUUUCUUCUGUCUAUUCGAAUCAGAAAAUAAAUCAGAUUCUAAAACCAUCAUCCAACAAGAAAAUAUAUGCUGGAUCCCUAGCUACAAUCCUACAUGUACGCAAACAUUAUGGUUGGGCCAGUACAUGAGUAGAAAUACCUCAUCAACACGUGAAGAAAAUGAUUCAGAUUCAAAAACCACCAUUCAUUAUGCAAGAAAAUCUAUGCUAGAUCCUUUCAACUAGCACGCCCAUAUGAAAUUGAUGCUCAUGUACUUAACAAAAAAAAACCAAUGCCAUGAAAAAACAGAGUACUUACAGGAAAUAUAAAUCUAAUAAAAUCAGAUUAGUACCUCAGAUAGCUCGUCGAUGACAUCCUCAUCGUAGUCGCUGCCCUUCCUGGGAUCCGCAGCCAUCUCGAACUCUAUUUCCUCCACGUCAUUCCCCUCGUAGAACUCCUCGAUUUUGUCAUAGAGCUCGCGCUUCAGCCUCACCUUCUGCUCGUCCAGAUCUUCAUCGACCUUCUCCUGCAUAGGCUCGCCGUCGGAUAGCUCGCCGGCCGGGAUGACAGCGGGAGGAGGCACAACAGUUGCUGCACCGCCUCCAUCACCGCUACGGCGGACUCAGCCGCUGCAACUGCGGCGGCAGCCACGACAGCAGACUGCUCUCCACCGAUGGUUGCCUCCGGCUCUUCCAUCGCAUCUUCACGGCCGCGCUUCAUUGGCGGUCGAUGAGAGGACGAGGGACGUGUUGGAAGGGAGGAGAGGAGUGGAGUGGUGAGGAAGGGAGGAGGGUUUGGGAGAGGACGAGGUGGUAUGGCUGGAGUGGGAGAGGACGAGGGUUUUCUACCCGAUUUGUGGAAGAAAAUGAAUGCGGCUGCCUCUUCGAGUUACCGAGGGGUCGAGGGGGGUGAUUUGUCUCACAUACCAGGGCCUUCCACAGUGAGGACGCGUGGGGUUUGCCCUGCGCCAUGCACCUCGCGUGCGGUUUGCCCCGCGCCGCCCUUCAAACUGCUGACACGUGGACACCAGCAGUGGUUACACAUGAUAGAUAUGGUAAAUGAAUUUCUUAAAUCUGAGGGCACGUAAUUUGUAUCAAAAUGCAUCAUCAGCUUAGUGGUAAGACCCUCACGAUCACAUACUAAUGCCCUUGGUUCGAAACUCCGUCGUGCAGUUUAGUUCCCUCUUUUUUGCCUAUGUGGUUUUUACAUGUGUGGAUCCCACAUGUCAUUCACACACAUGGAGAACACGUACAAACAAACUUGCCGGACAUGAUGUAAAUGGACCCAAAAAAUUUCUACUUCUAUGUAUCAUUCUUGUAUGGAUUUUCUAGUACGAUUAAGUGCUUAAAAUACUUCUCGGAGGUGAUGCGACAAGCGCACGUUGUCGAUCCACUGGGGUGGCCAUGCCCACAACAAGGAAAAAUUUGGUGUCCUUCUUAACAUGGCCAAAAAUUCACCUCCUUCACCGGCGGCUGUUCGGGUAGGAGGUAAGGGUCCGUGUGGAAGGACAGUUUUUUCUCGACAUGCUUCAAAUGGACCUAUAUUCUUUCUACACCCUUGUACCAACAUGAGAAGCAUCCAUGACUAGUUCCAUUGAUUUUCGAUGUUUUUAUUAUUUUUCUAGGGUUAUCACGACGAUAAAACCCUAAAAUAUUUCCCACCAGCGCCACCCUUCCCUCUGAUCACUCUGACUAGCAUGUACUUAACUUAGCAUCAAGGCCAUGAAAACAGGAAUCAGAACCGUAUUAGAUUUUGAUCCCACACAUACAAAAUAGAUAACACAAAUCACAGAUUGCAGGUACUACAAUUAUCUGAGUGAACUUCUAAUGCAUAACAACUUCUGGUAUUCAAAUACAUCACAUGAAGUACUGGGACAACUAGAAAUGCAAAACAGCUUCUGAUGUUGAGAUUGAGCAAGGGAUUUUUAUUGUGAGGCGCAGCAUCUUCAGCAACCUAUCCAUGAUUCCACCUGUAGCAUAUAAGUAACUGAAAAUUUUAGAUUGAAUACAGUUGGUAUUGGAAAAAUGAUAGUACGGUAAUUUGAAGAUGCCAAGGAAAUCUGUCACAACAACUGUAGGAGGAUACAAAUUUGAAUACAAAGUUCAUAGAUGUCAAUGUUGAAUUAAUAAGACCUUUGUAAGAUGCAAAAUCACUGCUGUGAUGAGAGUAAACAGCAUGUAGGCCAUAGCACAUGCAAGAAGCACUUACAGGAAGUGAAGGAAAAGGUUGUACAGCACGGCAACAUGAGUAAGCCAACAUCCCUACUAAAAUUAUUUCACUGCUUAUGUCUAGUUUUUUUCUUGAAUCAUUAGGAAGCCCUAAAUAUUUUGAUGCAAGAUCACCGACAGGGCAUUAAUGAAAUAUUUCAAUGUCUACAUCUCUCUACUGAAAGGCGUUACUGAAAUAUUUCAGUGGCUACGUGUGUGUGUAGUGAAACAACACCACUGAAAUAUUUCAGUUGCUACAUGCGUGUACUGAAACAGCACCACUGAAAUAUUUUAGUUGGUACGUGUGUGUACUGAAAGUGAACCGCUGAAAUAUUUCAGUGGAUACGUGCGUGUACUGAAAGUGCACUACCGAAAUAUUUCAGCGGCUACUUGCUUGUACUGAAACAGCACCCCAGAAAUAUUUCAGUGGCUACGCGUGUGUCCUGAAACUGCUACACUGAAAUAUUUCAGGGGUUGCAUGCCUGUACAAAAACUACAGUAUUGAAUUAUUUCAGGGGUUGCGUGCGUGUACUGAAACUGCAGUACUGAAAUUUUUCAGUGUCUACCCGUGUGUACUGAAAUUGCAUUGCACUACUGAAAUAUUUCAGUGUGUACCCGUGUGUACUGCAAUUGCACUACUCAAAUCUUUCAGUGUGAACCGGUCAGUACUGAAAUAUUUCAAUGCCUACAACUAUCUACUGAACUUGCAGUAUUGAAAUAUUUCAGUGUCAACCCAGAGUCUAUCACUCUAAAACUGUGUACUGAACUUGUCUGGAGGCACUUCUUGCAGCCUCGAUGGUGCAAGUUCAAUUUACACAGAUUGCAUCACGUAAUUUGAACACAACUCUUGAGGUGACAGAAAAAAUUUCAUAUCAUGGAUACCACUCCAGAACAUCAAAACAUAGCAAUGAUGGUGAAUCAGAGUAUAGAUCUGAAGCCUAAAAAUAACUAAGUGAGGAAGAACAAGUUUCACAGUUUCACAUUAGAAUUUUAGAUCUACCGCAUGACAGGAAAAGGAAAAUAUUUAGACCUAAAGGUUGGUGCUUGAGCAGUUCAUGAAGUUCCAGAUCAGGUUUUUAUACACAAAAGAGAUGAUCUGAUGGCAAAAGAAGGAUUAUCAUUACUACUGCAUAAGAGUAUAUCACAUUUGGAGUCUAUCCUAUAGGACUUAAUGAAGAACAGGGGAAGAACACCAUGAAGCUUCGAGGAGCCCGUGCGAACCCUAAACAGAUCUAUGGAGGAAAGGAAGAAGAACUCACCAAAAACUGUUGAACAGCGGAGAGGCGCCGUGAUUUUCUGGUACUGGCAGGGUGAUGCAGCGGCCAAGGUCGGGGCAUGAUACGUCUCCAACGUAUCUAUAAUUUUUUAUCAUUCCAUGCUACUAUAUUAUCAACUUUGGAUGUUUUAUAUGCAUGAUUAUGCUAUUUUAUAUUAUUUUUGGGACUAACCUAUUAACCUAGAGCCCAGUGCCAGUUCCUGUUUUUUCCAUGUUUUUAACCUUUUUCAGAUAGGAAUAUCAGACGGAGUCCAAACGGAAUAAAACCUUCGCUGUGAUUUUUUAUGGAAAAUAUCAAAAAUACCAGAAAGAAAAGAUACCAGAGGGGAGUCCCGAGGAGAUCACAAGCCAGGUAGGCGUGCCCACCCCCCUGGGCGCGCCUGGUGGGCUUGUGACCCCCUCGUGGGUCCCUCCAACUUGUUCUCGAUGCCAUCUGGUCGUAUAAAUACAGAAACCUCCAGAAGCCUCUGUAGCCACCAAAAACCAAUCGGGAGCCCUUUCUGGCACCCUGCCGGAGGGGGAACCCAUCUCCGGUGUCCAUCUUCAUCAUCCCUGUGAUUUCCAUGACGAGGAGGGAGUAGUUCUCCCACGGGGCUGAGGGUAUGUACCAGUAGCUAUGUGUUUGAUCUCUCUCUCUCUCUCUCUCUCUCUCUCUCUCUCUCUCUCGUGUUCUUGAGAUGUAAUGAUCUUGAUGUAUCGCGGACUUUGCUACUAUAGUUGAAUCUUAUGAUGUUCUUCCCCCUCUCCCUUCUUGUAAUGAAUUGAGUUUUCCCUUUGAAGUUAUCUUAUCGGAUUGAGUCUUUAAGAACACUUGAUGUAUGUCUUGCACGUGUCUAUCUGUGGUGACUAUGGGAUAUUCAUGUGAGUACUUGAUGUAUGUUUUGGUGAUCAACUCGCGGGUUUCGUGACAUUGGGAACCUAUGCAUAGGGGUUGGCGCAUGUUUGACUCUCCUGUAGAAACUUUGGGACACUCUUUGAAGUUCUAUGUGUUGGUUGAAUAGAUGAUUCUGAGAUUGUGUGAUGCAUAUCGUAUAAUCAUGCCCACGAAUACGUGAGGUGACAAUGGAGUAUCUAGGUGACAUUAUGGUCUUGGUUGAUAUGUGUCUUAGGGUGUUAUUCUAGUACGAACUCUAUGAUAGAUUGAACGAAAAGAAUAGCUUCGUGUUAUUUUACUACGGACUCUUAAAUAGAUCGAUCAGAAAGAAUAACUUUGUGGUGGUUUCGUACCCGACAAUAAUCUCUUCGUUUGUUCUCCGCUAUUAGUGGCUUUGAAGUGACUCUUUGUUGCACGUUGAGGGCUAGUUAUAUGAUCCAGUUAUGUUAUCAUUGUUGAGAGAACUUCCACUAGUGAAAGUAUGAACCCUAGGCCUUGUUUCCACACAUUUCAAUAUCGUUCGUGCUCACUUUUAUUGUUAUUUAACUUGCUGUUUUUAUUAUUUCAGAUUACAAAAACCUAUAUCUACUAUCCAUAUUGCACUUGUAUCACCAUAUCUUUGCUGAACUAGUGCACCUAUACAACUUACCAUUGUAUUGGGUGUGUUGGGUACACAAGAGACUCUUUGUUAUUUGGUUGCAGGGUUGCUUGAGAGAGACCAUCUUCAUCCUACGCCUCCCAUGGAUUGAUAAACCUUAGAUCACCCAUUUGAGGGAAAAUUGCUACUGUCCUACAAACCUCUGCACUUGGAGGCCCAACAACGUCUACAAGAGAAGGUUGCGUAGUAGACAUCAGGGCAGAGGUGAAGGUCGACGGCGGCGGCAGCGCUCGAGUGCUGAGGCGACGUGAGGUGGAAGAAAGACGAAGAGGCAAGGGGAGAAAAGGAAAGGGACCCUCGGCCCUAUUUAUAAGGCGAAGAGAUAAGUGACAGGCGCAGGAAUCGAGGAGCCCAAAAAAAUGGAUAUGUCCCAGAGCUGUCUCCUCGAUUUUCGGAGGCUCAUUAAUAAAAGUAAGGUAUAUACAGUUUUUUAAUGAAUAGGUGAAGUCAUAGCGAUUUAUUAUAAUCCUGGAAGAUGACGUCAUGGCGGUUUAUUAUAAUCCUGUAAGAUGACGUCAUGGUGGAUUACAAGGUUUACUCGAAGGUACUAAAGAAGAAGUUUUUCUAAAGUGUUGAAGAUUGACAUGAACAGGUUCAAAUCAAUCCGGGGCCUAAUGUUGGGGAUAUAACUACUGAGUAUAAACCGCCCGGGAGGGGCCGGGUUAUACCUGUAAUGAGUUAUUCAUAUUGAAGCCCAUGAAGACAAGGUGUAUGAUGCUUUAAUAUAAGAGAUCUAAAAGCCCAAGGCCCAAAGGCGGAUUAGGGCCCAUAGACAUAAACCGCCAUAAGGUGUGUAACUUGUGUUGUAAGAUAGGAAAGAGUAGAAACUGAGCCGGACACGUUUAUGAGCCGGUCGGGAUUCUGUAAACCGCCGGGCGUCAAGCUGUGUAUAUAAAGGGAUGACCCAGCGGUGGUUCAAGGACAAGAAACAACAACUCGAGAGCCAGGCAAAGCGUAUUCGCUCCCUGGUCAUCGAAACCAUAGCAAUCCCAUCAUAACUGGAGUAGGCUUUACCUUCAUCGUAAGGGGACGAACCAGUAUAAUUCCUUGCGUCCUUUGUCCGCUUUAACCCCUUUAAGUUCACUACGUUGCAAUGGCUCCACGACUAAGUCCUCACACUAGGACAUCUGUCGUGCCAAUCCCACGACAAGCGGGGAAAUAUUUAACAGAGAAACAAUAAAUCAUAUCCUGGGGACUACGCACACAACCAGGAUCAAGAGAAUUAAACCAUGUUUUAGCAUCACCCUUUAAUCAGAACGGGAAUAACUUAAGGAUAAAGUAAUAGCGAGUUUUCUCAUCAUUAGUGAAUAGGGUGGCUAUAUCAUUUAAUUUAGUAAGAUGUGUCACAACAGUUUCAGAUUCAUAGCCAUAGAAAGGAUCAGAAUCAACCAAAGUAAUUAACUCAGGAUCGACAGAGAAAUCAUAAUCCUUAUCGGAAAUAAAGAUAGGUGAAGUAGCAAAAGCAAGGUCAUAUUUCAUUCUAGCAUUCAAAGACUUUUCUUUAAGCUUAGCUAAUAAUUUCUUAAGAUCAGAUCUAUCAUUGCAAUCUAAGAAGUCUCUAGUAGUUUCUUCAUCCAUAACAUAACCCUCAGGCAUAAUAGGCAAUUCAUAUCUAGGGGGAGAAUCUUCAUCAUCACUUUCAUCAAUAUUUUUAGUUUCAGUAAUUUCAUUCUCUCUAACCCUAGCAAGUUGUUCAUCAAGAAAUUCACCUAAUGACACAGUAUUAUCAAGCAUAGAAGUAGUUUCAUCAUAAGUGUCAUGCAAAGCAGAAGUGGCAUCAUCAAUAACAUGCGACAUAUCAGAAUGAAUAGCAGGAGUAGGUGUCACAAGUUUACUCAAAACAGAAGGUGAAUCAAGUGCUGAGCUAGAUGGCAGUUCCUUACCUCCCCUUGUAGUUGAGGGAAAAUCUUGGUUCUUUUAUCUUUCAAGUUCUUCAUAGUGAUCAGCAGAUAUAAAUCCCAAGUAACUCAAAGAAUAGAGUUAUGCUCCCCGGCAACGGCGCCAGAAAAUAGUCUUGAUAACCCACAAGUAUAGGGGAUCACAACAGUUCUCGAGGGUAGGGUAUUCAACCCAAAUUUAUUGAUUCAACAGAAGGGGAGCCAAAGAAUAUUCUCAGGUAUUAGCAGCUGAGUUGUCAAUUGAACCACACCUGGAAACUUAAUAUCUGUAGGAAAGUAUUUAGUAGCAAAGUAACAUGAUAGUAGCGGUAACGGUGGCAAAAGUGACGGUAGCAGUUUUGUAGUGAUUGUAACAGUGGCAGCGGAAAAGUAAGUAAGCAAAGAUCAAUAUAUGAAAAGCUCAUAGGCAAUGGAUCAGUGAUGGAUAAUUAUGUCGGAUGCGAUUCCUCAUGCAAUAGUUAUAACAUAGGGUGACACAGAACUAGCUCCAGUUCAUCAAUAUAAUGUUGGCAUGUAUUCAGAUAUAGUCAUACGUGCUUAUGGAAAAGAAAUUGCAUCACAUCUUUUGUCCUACCCUCCCGUAGCAACGGGGUCCUAUUGGAAACUAAGGGAUAUUAAGGCCUCAUUUAAUAGAGUACCGGGAAUACAUGAACUCCUCAAACUACGGUCAUCACCGGUAAGUAUCCCGAUUAUUGUCACUUCGGGGUUAACGGAUCAUAACACAUAAUAGGUGACUAUAGACUUGCAAGAUAGGAUCAAGAACUCACUUAUAUUCAUGAAAACAUAAUAGGUUCAGAUCUGAAAUCAUGGCACUCGGGCCCUAGUGACAAGCAUUAAGCAUAGCAAAGUCAUAGCAACGUCAAUCUCGGAACAUAAUGGAUACUAGGGAUCAAACCCUAACAAAACUAACUCGAUUACAUGAUAAAUCUCAUCCAACCCAUUACCAUCCAGCAAGCCUACAAUGGAAUUACUCACGCACGGCGUUGAGCAUCUUUAAACCUCGCCUCGGCAACUUGCAAUACCCGUCACGAAGCUUCAGAAGUAUAUCACCUCAGCGCAGGAAGGGAUGUUCAUUCCCGACAGAGAAAAGGACAAGCUGACUGAGGCCCUAGGGAAUGCUGAGCACCCUGGACGAACACGAGGCACUCCAGGCUCCAUUCUGUGGAAGUUUGGGUUUCCCGACGCAUGCGGUUACAAAAGCCGGGAGAGAAAGAGGAAAGAGGAGAUGAGCGACAUGUAGAAGCUCAAUGCAAGAGUACAAAAGCUAGAGGAAGCUGAGAGCAAGCGAGCUGCCGACCAACCAUCUCAGCGGCAUGAAGCUACCCCAGAAGCUACCCCGCCAUCUCAGCGGAGAAGCAGCGUGGCUUCCACGGAGCCCGUUCAUCCUGACUUCACGUCUCCUAGCUACCCCGUGGAUACUAUCACGGAGGCUCAACAUUGCGAGCUUAUGAAGAAAUGUCGGAACCUCACUUUCAAGGCGUCUACAGGUGAAGGGGAAAAUUGGCUGGUUCAUGCUCUGAGGAGUACAUGUCUAUGGCAGAAGGAGUACAUCAAACUUCCAAACUGGACGCCUCUGCUUCCUGCUCCUCCUCCGGCGAGUCAGGGCACUCCGCCUCCUCCUCCUCCGGCGAGUGAUCAGGGAACUCCGCCUCCUUCUUCGGCUCCUCCGACACGUGAGGGCACUCCACCUCCUCCUUCGCAUACUCCGGCGCGUCGGACUAGUCCGCCUCCUCCUUAGCCUCGUCGGCAAUGGCGGAAGACAAACGUCGUCACACCUGCUCCUUCGGUGCGUCAGAUUUCUCCGCCUCAUCAGCAACGACGGAAGAGAGACGCCGCCGGUCCGGCGGCUAGUAGUACAAGCAGAGGCGGGAGCCAAUUCAGAUACGGUCCAUCUCUCAAGCCUCUGGAAAGUUACCAUAUGAGAGGACCGAGUAGGAAAAUGAGGACAUAUGUCGUGCCCAACUAAGGGACCAUUUUGCAAAGAAAAAUCCACCUCUGAAGGAGAAGGUAGAUCCGGUGAAAGUGAAGCGCACUAUCAAUGCCCUGAAGCGACCACAACCGCCUCCGCCGGAUUCCAACUAUGGCCGCAUAAUUACUAAGACACAUGCUAAAGCGCAGCAGUCGGGAAGUACUUCUAGUGCUGCAAGAGCGAAAAAACGAAGAAGUGGGAAAACAAUUCCUCAGCUCAGCGAACUGGAGAAGCAAUCGUGCCCCCCGCUCAAGGUGUCUAGCGAUAUCGCUAAUCAUCCGAUGCUACUGCCCAGUACCACUCUUGAUGAUUACCUGCCCAAUGAUGUACAGUUUGAAACGGCUGAGGUAGUAGACGUCUUCAGAUACGAGCAUGGGAAGCCUCUCGUCAAACCUGAUCAUCCUCAUCUAACAACGAUGAUGCAAAAAUUGCAUGACUGGUACAUGGAAACCUACAGGAAGUCUGGGAAAGACAUUUAUUAGUCGGAAUUAAAAAAGAGCAUGACUUCCCUGGAAUCGACAUGCUUCCUGUUGAAUUUGUGGAGUUAUUUCAAUUAUACAAUCAAAAGGCCCUCGACAAACAACUCAUGACUUGCUACUGUCUGUAAGUAUUACUUCUAUAAUUAAGUCUCUAGCUCAGCUCGUUCAUUGCAUGUAUAUAUAAUUAUCCUCACUAUAUUAUGCAGAUUGAAGAUGGUCGAAUGCAAAAAAUAGGAAUCUUCGACGUUGGGUUCAUUAGCCCAAAUACCGUAAAUGAAUGGUCGGUACGAAAGGUGGCUGAAGAUACUGAGAACAACUUACUACAAACGUUCCUUACACAUCAAAACAAAAGGGAAAUACUCUUUCCUUACAACUUCAAGUGAGUGUUACUGUCUUCUGCAUAUUCGGUUCCACUUACCCGUGGUUAAAUAAUGUAAUUGAUGAGUUAUGCGUGCGUAGCUUCCACUAUAUUCUGCUAUCCAUUAACCUUGAUGGGGCAUUAGUAAUUGUCUUAGACUCGCUCCGUAAAGAUCCCAAGUAUUAUGCGGACAUGACUGCAAUGCUCCAGAAGUAAGUUCAAUCAAUACCGGGACCAUAUCGGCAACUUUUAUUCAUUUCCUGAUAUCAAGUAAUCAUUUUCUUUGCCUGCCAGGGUUUGGAAAACGUUCACUGCUAAGGUUCCGGGUCUGAAGAAGGAGCUGCGAUUUACACACCCCAAAGUAAGUAGUACAAGCUAGUUUCGCGCAUCUCUCAUUGAUUCUAGUUUAAUCAAUAUCAUUAUCAUGCUUGCUUAUCAGUUUGAUUGAACUCUAUUCUCGUAAAGUGCUUGUUGCAUGCACCCAACACUCAUUUAUGUGGAUACUACGUAUGCGAGUUCAUUCGCUACUAUACCUCUGAACGUGCCUCCUAUGAGAAACAAUUUGAAGUACGUAAACAAUAUUCACAAUUUUAUUUUAUAUAUUACCAUCAAUUGUGUUGAGUUUCAUUCAUAUAUAUGUAUUGACCCCUUCUUUAAAUUAGAUCUGGCAGAUGCGGGAUGAACUCCUACCACGUGAUCGCAUACGAGCAAUUCAAGAGGAAUUGGCGGGAUUCUUUCUUGACCACGUCAUACUUGAACAAGGAGAAUACCAUGUGAAAUUGAAAUUGUUGUAAGGGAUGUUAUAUAUUGUACAUAUGUAGCAGCGCCGGAUAGAUAUACGAAAACUUGUUGUUCGACCAAGCACGAAGAAAGAGAUGUCACUUCUCUCUAUAUAUGUUCAUGACGAUCUUGUAUAAUUAAUGGUUUCCUUUAGUUGCUUACUAGCUAGCGUCGAGUUCUCUCUAUAUGUGUAGUAGCUAGAGUCGACCAAGCACGGAAAAAGAGAGGUCACUUCUCUCUAUUAGCUCGCUAACACAAUAUGAAACCCCUAAAUUAACCCUUCAAAACCCCAACCCCCCCCCCCUUCCAAAAAACAAAACCCCCAGCGACUGCGAGCUGCUGACGCGUGGCCGCCUUUUGGUCCUAGUUGGUGUUACCAACCGGGACUAAAGGUCCUCCCUCCCCCGCCCCAGGCAGCGCCACGUGGAGGGCCUUUGGUCCCGGUUCGUAAGCAAACCGGGACUAAAGGUUUUGGGUAUUAGUCCCGACCCUUUAGUCCCGGUUCCAGAACCGGGAAAAAUGGCCCUCUGGAACCGGGACAAAUGGCCCUUUUUCUACUAGUGACUUCUCAUAGGAGAUACGUACUUUCAGAUAGACAUAAUUUCCUACUUCGAAAAUUAAUUCUCUUCUUCGAUUAUCUGCAUAGCUCUUCUGACGAGUUUGUGCCACUCUCAAGUUCUCUCUAAUCAACCUGGCUUGUUCCUCGGCAUUCCUGAGCACAUCUGGUCCAAAGACUUAACUUUCACCCGUUUGAUUCCAGAACAACGGUGUUCUACACUUACGCCCAUACAAUGCUUCAAACAGUGCCAUCUUUAGACUAUUCUGGUGAUUAUUGUUGUAAGAGAACUCCGCAUACGGUAAACUUUUAUCCCAACUAGUACCAUACUGCAAUGCACAAGCUCUCAACAUAUCUUCAAGAAUAUGAUUGAGCCUUUCUGUCUAUCCAUCAGUCUGAGGAUGAUAUGUUGUACUGAAAUUCAACUUCGUUCCCAAAGAUUUAUGCACUUUCUGCCAAAAGAUGGACGUGAACUGCGGACCUCUAUCAGACACAAUCUUCUUAGGAACUCCAUGCUGACAUACUAUUCUUUCCAUGUAUAGCUCUGCCAAUCUUGCCCCGCUGUAAGUAGUCUUGACAGGCAAAAAGUGAGCGACUUUAGUGAGACGAUCCACUAUUACCCAUAUAGAAUCAUAACCUUGCUGGGUGUGUGGUAAUCCCACUAUAAAGUCCAUUCCGACUUCUGCCCAUUUCCACUCAGGAAUCUUCAUUGGUUGCAACAAACUAGCGGGUCUCUGAUGCUCAGUCUUUACCCUCUGACAAGUGUCACAUAUAGCUACAUACUCAGCCACAUCUCUUUUCAAUCCAUACUAGCAGUACUUCUCCUUAAGAUUUAGAUACAUCUUAGUACUUCCAGGGUGGAUAGAAUAGGCUGACUCAUGUGCUUCACGCAAAAUUGUAUCAUGAAUGGCUUUCACCUCAGGCACACAUAUCCUUUUUCCAAACCAUAAGGUUCCAUUCUCAUCUAUUCUGAAGCCAGGUGCUUUACCAAUCACCACAUUCUCAGCUAUCUCCUUUAGCUUUUCAUCUUCUAGCUGACCCUUACGUAUUUCUUGCUCCAAUGUAGGAAUCACUUUUAUCUCCAUAGCACUAGCAACAAUGCCAAGGUUCAGAUGUUGCAACUCCGCAUACAACUCUUCUGCCUCUGGUCUCAACUUAAGAUUGUUGUCAUAUUUCUUCCUAUUGAGAGCAUCAGCUACAACAUUUGCCUUACCUGGAUGAUAAUGUACCUCCAGUUCAUAAUCCUUGAUUAACUCUAGCCAGCGACGUUGUCUUAAAUUCAGACCUGUCUGAGUGAAUAUAUACUUCAAGCUCUUAUGAUCGGUGUAGAUAUCACUCUUGUGACCAAUCAGAUAGUGUCUCCAGAUCUUCAAUGCAUGUAACACAGCUGCUAGCUCCAGAUCAUGAGUAGGAUAAUUUAACUCAUGCUUCCUCAACUGUCUCGAUGCAUGCGUCCGUGGUGGUGACCUCAUGUCCGCUCGCACCGUGUUCGAUGAAACGCCAACGAGGGUCAAAAGCUUCGAACCACAUCGGCAUCGCUCGGAGUAGCAACGGGUACACGCUGGAGUGCUGGAUGUGAUGCUUGGCCAUCUCCAACUCACGAGCGUGUAAGAGAGAAACCAUGAGACAGUAAUGAUUUAAUUUGGUUUUGCAAUGUUUUUAUUUUAAAAAUAGUUGGUUUAUCUUUGUAAAAUAGUUAAUUACAUGAGAAUUAUUGAACAAAAUAGUUUUUAAAGAGCAAUUUGCAUUCAAACAGUCUUCAUUCUUAAUGAAGCUACGAGUUCCCAUUUGCUCUAACCAAACGAUCUUCAAUUUUUGCCACCACAGGAGCCUUGUAUUAGCUCUUGCGGUGCGAGCGGGAGCUCGGAUGUCCGUGCGACGAAGCUGAUCUAUGAAAGUGGCCUUGGUGAUCCUGUGCCCCGGUUGGUAGGUUGGGAGACAGCAAGGAUGCAAACCAGCGCCAACGAUGGGCGAAGAUUGCACGACGGAUGAGCGGCGCUAGAGAUGGAAAGUCUGCUGGAGCAGUUUAGGUGAAAGGAUAAAGAUGUAGUUUUCAUUUUUUUUUCUAAUAAUGAAAGUCGGACUCAACUUUAUGGAACUGGGCCUUAUGACACGUAGGGCCCAUCUGAAGCUUCUAGAGUUGUUAAUCCUGUGGUUGAGAAUGUGUGUGACAAAGCCUGUGUUUGAGUAUUUACUAUCUAGGGAAGUAUAAACAAUUUACAAUCUCAGUGGACCCAUAAGCCAAUAUCCUUGAAUGUUUUUUUUUCUGUUUGUGUGUAUAUGUCGCAAGUUUUCUUGUUUUAUUUUAGGUUUGGUACUGUAGCUAGGUCUAGAAUAGUUUUUUUUGUUCUUUUUUUAAUUUCAAAAAAAUCGAGGGAUGUCUCAGUUUUUAUUAAAAGAAAGAAAUAUUUGGUCCAAAGUUGAAUGAGCGUGUCAUGCAGGGUUAAAUCACAAGAUAAACUGAUGAAACACAUGAUGCAUUAGUGGAUAAAUCACACGGGUGAUUUGAAGACAAAUUGAAAAACAUGAUGUGUUAGUUAAAUAAAUAAAUAUCAUGAUACAAUUAUAAGUAACCAUGCAAUAAACUAUAUGUCCAAUACUUGCACUCACAGGCAUUUUUGCUACUAUUAAUAAAUUGGUAAAAAUCAGAGAAUGCGAGGCGGAUACCAAACCUAGCCAAAUGGGCCGGCCUGGGUUAAACGGGCCCGAACCCCUCUUGCCCUCGCUCCUAGAAAAGCCGCCCGCCUCCGUCUCUCCCCCGCACUCCAUCGCCUCGCCUCGCCUCGCCGCCGUUCCCCGCAACCCCCUGUCUGUCGACCCAAUUCAUCUCAGGGAUAUCACCCGACGCCUCGUCCUCCUCUCCAGAUCAGAUCUUACGCCCGCCCGCCCGAGGUGAGCACAUGCUUGUACAUCCCGAUCAGCUUGGAGUUCGUUCCGAUUGGUUGGUAGGCGCGGCGCUGGUUCGAGGCCAGCGUGGUCUCCCUCCUCCUCCGGAGUUGCUCGGGCGCGGCGCGGGUUCAUAGGUGUCGGAUCCAGCGCCGUCUGUAUCCUAUUCGUAUGAGGAACCUCGGCUAGGAUAGGAUUUAAUUAGUUGGUUUUUGUAUUAGGGUAACACCACCUAGGGUUCGGUUGAUUAUCCGUAAGAAGGAAUCAAUCUGACGCUUUAGUUAGGGUUUGCUUGGUUGGUUGUGGUCAGAUUUUGGUUUCUCAUGAAUUCUUCAACUGUGCCUGUCGCGAUUUUGGGCGGAAAUUGAUGAUUGAUUUCGGGGGCAAAAUCCGAGGGAUUUUGUGGAUGAAAGAUGGGGAAACUUGGGGAAACCAAGCAAAUCCAUGGAUCAAAAUAAACAAACUUCAUCAUGCCAACAAAUCACAAAAAAAAUUUGGUGGGGAAAUUUCGAAUUAGGACGAAAAACAACAAGAUCAAAGCUAGAAAACGAAUAUUAAUUUGGAUGGAAUUCAUGCUAUGUUGUUCGAUUUCAGUUUAUGCCUGCCAGAAUGUUUUAAUUUUUUGUUUUAUCAACUGUGUUGGAGCGUACUAGAUUUUUUGUUGCAUAUUCAUCUUCUUGCUCUGUUUGGAUAGGUAACAAUUAAUAUUUGGGAUCCUAAAAUAUGUAUGCACUGGCAGCACUUAACCUGCAGCUGCUGAUUAAUGUUGUAGUCAUAUGUGCUGCUUUCCAGCUCUCUUGUUUGGAUAGGUAUUUGGUUAUCGUUUGGGUUUAUUUAUUAUCGUUUGUAAAUGCUGGUUUGGUUUUCUGUGCUCACUAUGCCCUUGCACAUGGGAUGCAAUUUUUUUAUUUCCCUGCUGUUUAGUUUAUUGUUUCCUUUGAUGGUGAGGCAUUAAUUCUGGAGAUAGAUGCAAUUUUCUUGCUCACACAAUAAUACAAUGAAUGAUGGCAUCUCUAUCUACUUUGAACCAAAUUAUAUUAUAUUCCCCCCUCUGUUAAUUAUUUUUCUGUUUUGGGUAUUCAUUCAUUUUGUUUAGUUGCCUAUCAGUAUAAAUACAUGGCUGGAUUGCUUUCACUUCAUAUUAAUAACUAUUCUGUCGCACAAUGCAAAUAUACAUAUGCUGUCCUAACUAAUUAAGUAGAAGCUUGGAUUGGUGCUGUAUGGUCUCUUCCUGACAUUAAAUCCUCCUCUGUUUGUGCUGUCUGUUUCUGCUGCUGCAGUCUUCUUCGCCGCCAAAAGGAAAAGAUGCUCUACAAAAUCCACUCCCAUGCCGAAAUCCAAGCCCUGCAGGCCCGCACCGAUGAGCUGGGCCACUCCAAUGAGCACAUGGAUGUGAAGCUUGUCUCUCUGGAGUCGGUGCGCAUAGCGCGCGAGUCGUAUGCACUCCUCCGCCCGCUGAUCAUGGAGUCGAGGUCCUGGGAAUGCCCGGAGCUGGAUUCCCUCUCGGACGUGGCAGGCUUGUCGCUGGAAAUCCAAAAGCUCGAGCAUGAUGUGUUACCCCAGCUCACGGUUCAGGAGGCUAAGCUGGAACGGGGUGCCCUGGAAGCCCUCCUACUCAUGAAGAGCUCAGCAGCUAAGCUCUUACAUAUGAGUAAGUGCUUGAAGGAAGCCUUGGGCGUAUUGCUUGCCGAGGAUGUCAAAAAGCUGAGCAUAGUGCUAAGCGAUACUGCUGUUCAUGUACUCAAAGGUAAGUUCAACAGUGGCUUGCUUCAGGAGCGUGUCCCGUGGCUGGUCGAGCUGGUCACCGAUGUGUUGGAGACCCCGGUUCGUUUCUGUGAUACUCGUAAGCGUAAGUAUUCUGAUGAGUAGACUUAUCAGCCAGCUCGAGGCUGUUGUGAUGAGUAUUUCUUAGGGGCGUGGCAAACAGUUUAGAAUCAACCCUUUAUGUUUGUAUGUGUUAUUAAUGGAUUUUAAAUGAUAUGUAUCUUGGGUGGGUAGUGUUUUCUCAUUCUGUGCUAGUCGGGUACAACUUGGAAUUACUUUCAGUUUUUUUUUUGAGAAACAUCCAUUCUGUUUUUUACUGUCACAUGAGGUAUUCGCUCUUUUUAGGGAAUAUAUAGAAGAAAAGAGGCAUACUUUAGAACGUGG